UCUUUUCUUUUUUCCUUCUUUUUAUAGGUUUUCCUUUUUCUUCUUUCCAAUUUCUAUUUCUUUUAUUUUUUCUUUUUCCUUCGAUGAACCCUAGCUGCCAUUGUCGUUGCCGUCUGAGCUCCGAUCGAGCAUCAUUAGAACACUCUUCUCCACCACCUCUCUUCAAAUCGUUAGUUAGUUUUCCAAGAAUCCGACCCAAAUUUGAUGAAACAUAGGCCAAAGCUUCGAUCUCUUUCUUUCUCCAAACUCCCUUUUACACAGUCAGAUCACCACCAGUCUCCGAUAUGAAGUACAUCGUGUCAUGGUUUUUCUUGCCACAAUUGGGAUCGCCAAACAGAGACCCAGAGGUACGCUGAACUCGAAAAGAUAAGUCCUCAAUAAAAACCCUAGAUAGUCGACUAUGAAUUUUCCUACUAUGUUUCGCCUGCUCUCCGAUGUCGAACUGAGCCACCACCGUCAAUGCCCUUGCCUUCGGUCAAUGUGCACCACUGCUUAGCCUCUUGUUUCUUUUCCUUUUUUUACUGCCGCCUCUACGGUCUAACCUCGGAUGAUAAACAUGUUUGCAAAUCUAAGAUUUGUUUGGGUUUGCAAAACUAAGUUUCAAUUUGGGUUUGUUUUUUGGGACUUGAUUCCAUUUUCCCCCAAUGGGUGAAUUUGAUUUUGGUUUUCUUUUUUUAUUGCGGUUCCAUGUUUAUUAUAUAGGUUGUUUCCGCUUUGAUUUUGUAUUGGGAUUUUGAUUUGCUCCAUCGUCAAGUACUAUCAAGACAAGCCAUGGCUGUAAGGUUUCGAUUUUGAUUUUGAUUUGCAAUGUAUUAACAACGAUCCCAUCACAAAUAAGCUUUGUUUUUCGAAUCAUUUGAAAUUGGAUUUAAAUUUUCUGGCAAUUGAGCUUUUUUAAGUUCGAUUUCAUGGAGCAAACCAGGGAUUUUAAAAGACUCAAACUCGGAUACCAUUUCAUGAACCUUAAUUUGAUAGAAAACCCUAACUAGAAACCUCAAAUCAACUCAACUCUGAUGCCAUUUUUAGGCUGAAAAUUAGGCAACUUGGGUUGAGGGAGGAAGGAGAAAGAAGGAAAAACAUAACGAUAAAAAAACUGGGGAGAAAAGUGAAAAAAAACAUUUUUAAUUUAUUUUUAGAUUAUGACAUCAUUAUACCACGUGUCACAAUAUUAUUCUGUUACGUGUCCUAAAUUUAAUUGCAUUAGACUGAGGUACCAAUUUAAUUAACGGAAAAAAAAUUCGGAUAUUAGUCUAGAACAAAAAAAAACCAUAAAUAUCAAUCUGAAAGAAGUGGACAAGUUCGAUUAUCUCAUUUGUUUCCCAUACCAUUUUUGUAUUUAAUUAUAUUUUAUACUAUUUUUAUAAAAAAAAAAAAUUUUUGAAAUCAUAAACAAUGCUGAUGAAACAGUUUUUGAAGUCGAAAUGUGCUUUUAACUCAGUUAAAUGAUUCAUUUGGAAAACAAAAUACUUUUGGAAUCAAAUGAGGUUUUUAAUCCUUUUUAUAGUUAAAUAUAGUUUGUGUAAUUUUUAUAUGGGAUAUACAAUUUUUUUAUUGAAAUUUAUUACAAAUGUAUAACAUAAUAUAUUUGAGUUUUUAAUAGUUUAUAUUUAAUAUUUAAAACGUAAUUAAAUGUCAAAAAUAUUAAUAUUAAUUACUUUAAAAUAUUUAAAAUUUAUAUUUCAUAUAUCAAAAUAUAAAUAAUAAGGUAUAAUAUUUUUUUAUACUGAAAUAUCAUAAUAUCAAUGAAUUUAAACAUGAUUUAAAUUAUUAUUUUUUUACUUUGCAACAUUAUAUCUAAAAUGAACAUUUUAUUACUCAAAAAUAAUUUUUGAUAACAAAAUCUUAAACUAAACUUCUAAAAAUCACAUUUUUUCACAGCACUUAAACAAGACGAUACAAAAUAAGACUUAAGCAAGAAUAAGAUCUAUGUUAAUGUGCUUAAUGGUUAUUUUUAUUUUCAUCUCACCAUUACCAUUGCAUUUACAUCCAAACACAUACUUUACAAUUGAUUUUAAUAUCACUACUACAGUAAUUAAUUUAAACUUACAACGGUAAAUAAACUAAAGAAAACUUAAGAUAAAAAAAAAAGAGUUCAAUUUAAAGUUAAGAUACUUUUAAGUCAUACUUUAAGGUAAUAAAAAAAUGUAAAAUAUUUUAUUUUGAUCAAGGAAGCGAUAAGUUCAAUAUUAUAAAAUUUAAAAACGGUUAGAAUAUAGUUGAAACUAAUUUAAAUAUCUAAGCUGAUUAUUAUAGUGUAGAAAAAUGAAUUGGACGUCGUAGUUGUGUUUGUUAAAAACCCAACAAAUGGGAAACCUGAAGAAGAAGGGUGUGGUGUCGUAUAAAGUUAGGCAAAUCCUUAUCAUGGUGGACAACCAAAUAUCAAAUUGCACGUAUGGGUUGCGUAACGCGGAUUUUGAAGAAGUAAAACACAAACUUUUUAAGUGGAGCUUUAUGAUUAGGGGUGGUGCGAGGGAGUCCAUUUUUAGUGUAUUUGGUAGAGGAGAAUAGGAGAAGUGAUUAUUUUUUAUCCAAAAAAAUUUUUUUUUUCUUUCAAUUUUUCCUAUCUCACUCACUUAUGAAAACAAAAAUUAUAUUUUUCAUCAUUCAAUUUUUUUUAUCUUUCCAAUAUUUUUACACUUCACCAAAAAAGAUGAGUUUGGAUGGGCGGUGCGUUUACCUGCGGUUAGUGUAAAAACAGCGGUGGCGGUGAGCUUAAAUACUGUAGCGUGAGACAAAAAAUAAACUAAACGCACAGUACCGCACCCAAUCGCCCAUCCAAACCCACCCUUAGAAUUUAGAGAACAUACGACGGAAAGCAAUUACUUUCUUAAGAAAUGAAUUGGACUGGAGAGUAAUUCCCAUGUAUAGCAUACCAAAAACUAUUGACUUUAUUCAGAAUGUAUCUGAAAGUUAUUUUCUUUUAAUCAUUAGAAUGUGAUUCCUUUGUAUAUUGGCUAUAGGUGCAAAGUUAAAAUUUCUCUUUUUCUUAUUUCUUUAUUUUCAUUAUGCAGUACUUUUUCGCCGGACAAUAAAGAAUAUGUUUAAUUUUAAAUACUAUUGAAUUAAAUUUUAAAUUAUAUUCUAAUUUAAUGCAUAUGAAAUAUUUAAAUUUUAUUUUCAAUUUAAUCAUAUAUUAUUUUUUUUAAAAUGGUUUUUUACGUAGAUAAUAAAAAAUAAUAUUUAAAUACCAAAAUGGUAUUCCAAUGUCAUUAUUUACCAAAAUGGUACGAAUUGAAUAGUUUUAUGAGAAGAGGGGAAAAAAUUGGAGAAGAUGAGACAACAAAGAAGAAUUUGUAAGGUUAAUAAAUAUGAAAUUUUUUUUCUUUUAAAGUAUAUAUUUUUUAAAAAUAAAAUAUUGAGAAAUUUAAUUAUUUUUACGGAUUUAGUAUUGGAGAUGGAUAAUCAAUUCUUCGUAUGUAUUUAUUUCGAUAGAGUAUUUUUGACAACAACAGUUGGAUGUAUAUUUGAAUGUCGCCAACAAAUAGCAAUGAGAUUUAAUAGAAAUGUGUUGGUUGAUGAUAUGAAAGAAAUGAUCAGUGCAAAAAUGGUUACACAUUGUGGGAGGAGGAUCUCGAAACUAUUCUACAAAUUCUCAAUUUCAACAAAUCCCAUCAAAUUCACCAAGAUGUAACUUGUAGACGAUGAAGACGUGGAGGCAAUGGUCACACUUUAUUGUCAAAUUCAAAGUGGCAAAACUAAAUCGAUUCAGUUGUUUGCUGAGUUACCUUAUGUGGAGUCAGGUGAAGAUUUCACUCCAUUAAAUAAAUAACAUGGUGUUCAAGAUCUGUGUACGGUGGUCUUGAAAGCAUACGUUGAUAGGCGAUUAAUUGUCCGCAGAAUUGACAUCGAUAUUAAUGUUUCACUUGUGUUUGAAAACUUUAACCUAGUUCCACGUUUACAAAUACAUCUGGUGGUGAUUGAGAUCGAUGAAAAUGGUGGUGAUGGAUAUGAUAAUAAUGGUCCUUCUGAUCACGAGGUUAAAUGUUAUAGUGAUCCCAAUUUAGACAAGGUCCAUGAUGAUAUCGACGACGAAAGCACGAAUGAUGAUAGAAAUGUUAACGCGUUUUUAGUUGGAAACUCGAGUCGAGACAUUGUGAUACACAAUGAUCCUGGGGCAUAUAUGUUGAUCGUAAACCCCGAUGUGGCAUAAGAAUCUGAGUUCCCAGAAUACCUCAAUAUACUCCCUAUUCACCGGUUGGCUGCAGAUUCGAACGUGAAGAGUUGUUCGUGGGCCAAAAAUUCACAACCAAGAAAGAUUGCGUAUUUUCCAUUAAGUAGUAUAACAUGAAUGUGUUCGUCGACUACAAAGUUUUCGUGUCUAAACUAACAUUGUAUAUAGGUCGAUACAAUGGUACAAUUGGCAAGUACGAGCUGCAUUCAUCUAGAGGUCGCAAAUGUGAGAGAUCCAAAAAAUUUUUGGCCUCACACAUGCACUUUUACACAUAUGACACAAGAUCACCGCAAACUUGACGCCAAAACUAUCUACAGCUACAUCAUGCCAAUGGUGAAGGACAUGCCGACCAUUUUUGUUUCUGUGCUGAUUGCUUAAAUGUAAGAAUAUUCCAGUAUUGAGUGUCAUACCAGAAAACAUGGAUAACAUAUGGCCAUAGAGCAGUUGUCCGGAUAUUGGGAUGCGCCAUACAAUGAGCUAUAGAAGUGGAUAGUCAUUAUGCAGGAAUACAUGACACAGAUUGUCAUUGAGUUACAGACACGACCUUAUUAUGGCUUAGGCGACCAAUUACAACCAGAGAGAAAAAUUUUCUACCGAAUGUUUUGGACCUUCGGUCCAUGCAUAUGAGUUUUUUCCUACUGCAAUUCCCUUGUGCAGGUUGACGAGACCUAGCUAUACGAAAAAUAUACGCAAAUUCUAUUUAUUGCAAUUUCUCAAGAAAUGAAUCGAAACUUACUCCCGGUAACGUUUGCCAUUGUGGAGUCGGAGAACAUGAAAUCAUGAGAAUUUUUUUGACAAACUUGCGGACUUAUAUUGUUAGAGACGGUAAUAUUUGCAUCAUAUCCAAUAGAUCAAAUGGACUAACUGUCGCGAUUAGGUGUUCUAGUGUUUUUUGGAGAUUCGUUUAUUGCAUCCAACACAUCGCAGCUAACUUCCACCGAGACUACAAGAAUAUAGACUGGUGAAAAUAAGUUGUGAAAAUGGGUAAAAUUAAAUUUUAACAUAUUUUUUGAAUAUUCUUAAUACUUCCACAAAUUAAUUUGAAAAUGUAACUUGUAUUUUUAGAAUACAUACGUAGUUUACUAGCUAGAAUAACAUUGUUUCAGACAAAGGCUAAAUAGACUUGAGGGUAACAUGCAAAGUGAAAUGAAUAUUACUUUUCGAGAGUGGUUGGGUACCAUUGAACUGUGGCAAUGAGCUUAAAGUUUCGACGACAGGUCUCGAUAUGGUUAUAUAACCACCAACUUGAUGUCAAGAAUUGGGUUGAAACAAGUAAAUUAGAUGAUAGCGGGAUACGUGCUUAUCGAGGAGGUCAAAAAGACAAUAGAUGCAAACCAUUAGAGAUUGAGAUUGAUGAGUGUAGAAAUAUAUUCUCGACAGUUAGAAACUUUUUGAGUUAUGGAAUCCAUCGAUCGUUGACGAGGUAUCCCACUUAGGUACUAUAGAGUUGAUCUCCAAAACAGAUGGUGCGAUUGCGACAAGUUCUAAACACUUCGUUACCCCUGUAUGCAUGUCAUUGUAGCUUGUGCUCGUACCUCGACCAAUACUGGACAAUAUAUCGAUGAGGUGUACACUCUCAAGUGCACAUUGCAUGUUUAGGGAAAUGAGUUCCUCGUCUUACGUGAUUUGUUUACAUAAAAAGUGCCUCUACUGACUUUCGAGCUUGUCCCAGACAAGGGGUUAUGUAGGAAGUCAAAAGGUUGCCCGCAAGUCACUAAGAUCUGUAAUGAAAUGGACAUGAGGGAGAAAAUCGACCCAAAACUUUGUGAGGUGUGCAGAACAGUUGGUCAUAACCGAACUAAAUGCCCACAUCGAACCUACCAUAUUGGACAAUUGUCUCGAUCAAGUGGAAUAUGAAUUAGUGUACUCCAUGUUCAAUUUUGUAUUAAAUUUUUUAUGAUUAUGAUGGAAUUUUCAUAUUUAUAUUUUAGUAACAACACAAUUCUAUUACAUCUUUAAACACCACUUUGGCAUGAAUAUUGUUUUCAAAAAAACCAAAAGUUUGUUAAAAAAAGUCAAAAGUUGUGUUUUGAAAUGUAAUAUUUGUUGAAUGAAUAAUAUUUAUUAAUUAUAUGUUUCUAGUUCGUAAUCAUUAAAAAUUAAAAGAUUUAAAAUAUUAAUUUACUAUAAUUUAAUUAAUACAAACUUGAAAAUUUAAAUUACAAAUUACAUGCAGUAAAUAUAAUAUUACACAUCCUAAAAUUGAUGGUUCGAUGGUGUCGUCCGAAGGGUAAACCAUUGUGGUGCCCGACGUUGACGUUAAGGGUGCUCGUGGCAGUCAUUGUUACCCUCACCUGGAACAUCAUUCACAACAUCCAUCGAUGAACCUUGGGGUGUGCUAAACAUACUCGAGAAACCGUAUGUCCCAAAGGUGGGAGAGGUUGAGUACUGGGGUGGUAAUGUACUGAAGAUAUAAAAAAUUAUCGGUAAUCUCAAAUCCGAAUGAUUAGAACUGGAACCGAGAAUCUCUGACUGAUAUGCGUAACUUAACGAGCCCGAAAAAUAGUUAUCGACCCCUAAGUCCGGAUGAAAGGAACUACCUUCAGAUUUUGAAUAAUACCACUCGGGUUCGGGUGCAGAAGGCGGAUAGUCAUAGUGUGCGAAAGGUGCCUUAGUCGUUGCAUAUGUAGAGGGACUAGUAUUAUUUUCCCACCAAAUAAAAAAGGUUUCCCACUCACCAUGUACCAACAUCGGUACUCCUCUAAGGGCCACAAAUCAACUGUAUAAUUUAUUCGAGGUCUCCGUCUCAACCGAUCGUUCCACAAUACAAUAUAUUUUUCAUGCUCUAGUGCCCAAUUCUUGUCUUGUUUCCUCCUUUUGUUAAUUCUAUGUACAACCCCCAAACUCCAUAAAACAUCCGGAAUAUAUUGGAUACACCCGAAUUGUUGUAGUACUCGAUCCCUGUUAUACCACUCGACUGUUAAAAAAAUUAGCAGAGGUGCAUUAAUACACCAUAAGUGUGAAUGGAUAUGAGUAGACGAGGUAAUAAUAGCUGCAAUGUCCGGAAAAGAAUAUGACAUCCAGAUGAACUACAUAAUUAAUAACAAGGUUAUAGUAACAUGGUUCAAUUAACAUAAAUAAAGUAAGUACAUGUAAUGAAUAAUAGUAAAAACUACCCCCUCCCCGAUGCAUGUCUCAAUCAUCUGUCGAUAAAUCGGAAGCGUAUAUGACCUCCCGAUACUUAGAGAAGUACUCCAUCUACGAAAAAAUUAAACUUGUUAGAACAAAUUUUCAUAAAUAAAAAAAGCAAAAUUUUUUUUGUAAUGCUUAAAUAUUAUCACCUAUUCAUGAGUGGGAAGACAUAUGUUUAGUGAGCAACUAAUGCCAAGAAUGUCAUACUGUAAAGUGCCCAAGACUAGAGCAAUACUAGGCAUCCGCCUAUGUUCACAGCACGGUGUUUUAUCGUCGACAAAGCUCCCGAUACAAUGUCGCUAGUACUGCUGAACCCUAACUAUAAGAACAGGCAGCGUAAAAAUCAGAUAAAAGGGGCAAGUACAUCAAGUGAACCUUGUUAUUUGCGUUUGACAUGAGUACACCCUCUAUCAUAUGCAUUAUAUAUGCUCGAGUGACGCACAUCACCUCCCAUUAGUGGCAGUACUCGAUAAAUACUCGAAAUUCACAUUUAACCAUGAAAAUCUCAAACUCGUAAAUUUAUUGCCACCAUCACCGGGCGAGCGUCCUAGUAAGUCAUAGCUAAGGGCUGCCAGUUUGAACGUUGCACUUACACCCGUGAUCACACUACUGUCAAUUGGGAGCUCGAGUUGCAGUGCAACAUCUUCCAAUAUGAUAGUGCACUCCCCAUAUGUCAAAUGAAAUGUGUAGGUCUCCUGGCGCCACCACUCGACCAAAGUGGAUAUAAAGUCAUAUUUCAAAUCAAACAUACGGAUCAAUACCACUGAUCCGAGUUCGAAUGCCUCCAAGUAUGGCAUAAAACGUUCAUCCAACAAAUAGCCCACACCGUUGACACGGUCCCUCAAUACGCGGUACGGACUCUGGCCAUACUAAAUUACCACGAUAGUUAAUAUAUCCCAAUUAAAUAAAAAAUGGUGUGGAACUUUAUAGGAGGACUCGUGAAUAACAAAUAACAAAUCUAUUACCAACACAUUAAUCGUAUUUGAUGUGUGACCUAUUUCUGUAAUCAAAGAACUCAUUUUUAAUGUUCGCAGUUUCAAAUAAAAAAUUUAAUCAUCGCCUGAACAAAUAAAGAUAAUGAAUUUUGUAUUGUAUGUUAUUUUUUUGAAUAAUUAAUAAUAUUUUUACUCAUAUAAACAAAUCAAUAACAAUGUAAUUUGGGAUGCACUAAUGUAAGUCUAUCAUUUAUUUUUUAGAAACCAUCUUCUUCUUCUUUUUUAAUUUUUUAUCCCAAUAACAAAAAUUUUAUUACGUAACAGAUAUUCAACGUAAGUGAAUUGUAAAAAUUUGUAAAGCAAAUUUAGUUCAAUUAAUUAGUAUUCAAUCAAUUUAACGUAAGAUGUAUAAAUUAAUUCUAUAUAAAAAAUUAAAAUUAUUCUGAUAGUUUCUCUAAUUGAAGAAAAACAAAGAACAUAUUUUUCUAUUUUAAAAAUCUCAUCUCGGAUUUAUGGCAUAUUUGGCCUUUUUUACCACAAUAAUCUAAAAAAAUAAUUAAAUACCAAAACGAGUCACCGUACAAAUUUGUAGCAAACAACCCAUUUCAAUAUUUAUUAUUUUAGCAAACGACCCAUUUUGGUAAUUAAUUUGUAGGGUACCCCAUUUUGGUAUUUAAUUUUUUUUGAAUUUUUGUGGCAAAAUCAAAUAAAUAAUAAAAAGAUUACAAAUCCAACUAAUGUGAAUUACAAAACCUUAAACAAGUAAAUAAUAACUACAAAACAAAAAUGUACCUUUAAAAUAAUAUUUGUUGUUGUCUCCUUUCCUUCCAAAACCACAAAAUCAAACAAAUAAUAAAUAUUAAAAAAAAUUACCUUUCAAAAAAACUUAUUGUUGCCUCCUUCACCCUAAACCCUAAAUCAAAUAUAUAAUAAAUAUUAAAACCACAACAACCUGUUACCUCCUCCCUUUAAAACCCUAAACAAAAAAAAUACAAAAAUAAAACUUAACCUUUCAAAACACUUCACUUCUCUACUUUGUUGCCUCUUCCCUUCUUCUCUUCUCCUAAACUGUUAUAAAGUUCAUUUUUUUACAAUUGAGGGGACUAUGACCCCUAUUAUAAAGUUCAUUUUUUUUCACGUGUAAGGCCUAAAUCGGCCAGUUCAGGCCGUCACACCCCGUGAGUGUGUGGUCACUUCCGCUGCAGAGAGGUGCUGUCAGGUGUUGCCUAUCAAGUUCCCUCCUCUAGCCUUUAAAAAUUAUUUUUCCCAACUCGUAUUUUCCCUAUAUUUUAACUGAUAUAAACUACAUAUAGGUUCCGCCUCUCCUACAUCCUCCAUCACUUAAAUAUAUAUAUACAUAUAUGCUUAAUGAUGGGGUUAUGAUUGCCAGCAAAAACAAUGGUGGUGCCACCACCUUCAAACCAUACCAUUUUGGUAAACAAUGGGGUGAAACAUCAUUCUUUGGUAUUUAAAUAUUAUUUUAUUAUUAUCUAAGUAAAAGAAAAAAGUUAUUUUUUAAUUAAAUUAAUGUUAUUUUUUAAUAAAAUAAAUAUAUGCGGCAUCCUUUUUUUUGUAUUUUUAAUGUUACAUUUUUUAUUUUAAAUCAUAUCAGGUUUACCAUGUGAUAAAUCACAUAAUUUAGGAAAAGAAAGAAAAAGUUUGGAUAAAAGAAGAAAUGUCAUAAUUUGGGAACAUCAAGUACAAUUUAUGGAUUUAUAAAUUAUAUAGUUGUGUCAUUUACACUAAAAUAUGCUAAGACUUGGUCCUCAACCAACCAACUUAAUCCUCUCUUUUCAGCUUAGAAAAUGACUCAACACAAUGUCUUUUUGGCGCUUUAUCUAAACAUAAAUAGACUGUUUUUAAGUAAAUCACAAGUUUAUCAUAUCUUUUUAUGUCCUAUCAUAUUUAUUUAUAUUAAAAAAUAAGUAUAUCAUUUUUAAAAAUUAAAAAAAAAAUAUAAGUGGUAGAGGUAAUCUUUGUUUUUCUAUAUUAAUUUUUGGUUUUGGAUUUUUAGACUCAUUUUGACAAAAUGAACUUUGUUUUUAACUUUUAUAUAUUAUUAGACAUUAUCUCUAAGUCUUUUCAUAAAUAUUUCUAAAAAACAAUAUUUUUAAGAACUUUUUAAAUUAUUUCCACUAUUUUAAAUAUAAAAAAAAUUAUUUUUAUAUCAUAAAAAACAAAUAUAGAAUUUGGUUCACUUUUGAGUAAUCGCAAUUUUUAAACUUGCAUUCCCUAAACCAUUUAAAUACCUCAGUUCGAGUCAAUUUUCAAUUUUUUUACUCAGCUCUAAUGAACAAGUCUAAACAAACUUGAGUUAAUUAUUUACAAAUAUAGACGAAUUUAGACAAAAUCUAAGCUUAUACUUUAAGUCAAACUGGGCUUAAGCAGUUAUAUGUGAUAAUGAUAUCAUGUAUGAAUUUAACUUGAACCCUAAAUUUUAAACUUACUAUCGCCUCAAACAAUCAAGUGUUAUCUUAAACCAUGGGAAAUUUCAUGUGGAAAUCUUUUUAUCAUGUGGAAAUCUUUUUAUCAUCAAGGUGAAAUUAACAAUAAUCAGUGUUAUUUAUUUAAUCUUCGAAUUAAAAGAACUGUUUCAUCUUAAAAUUAUAUUUCCCAGGUCUGACAAAAAAAAAACAGGCUGGAGGACUGAAUUGAAUAAUAAAAAAAGUGAGAUGCCUAAUUCCCUGAUUAUCCCAGCACAAAGUAAAGCACUGCAGGUUAAGACAAGUUGACUUUGUCGUCCUCUCUAAACUACAAUAAAUACCGAAUAGAUGCGUAACAAAUCAGAUGGAUACUGCAGAUUCAUUACCUCUACGGGAAAAUACCACAUCAUCCGAUGAUAUUUUUAUUUUUAAUUAGUAGGUACCGAUAUGAUGAAAAGGGUUCAUAAAAUAAUUUUUUUCUCUAUAAUGAUGAUUACGUGGUGUAAAAAAUUAAGAUUUUAAAAUUAACGUGCAAAUAUCGAGUCUUUGACAAGCAUUUUACAAAUUCGGGUCAACUCAGUCCAACUUAAAUUACUAUUUAAUAAUAAAAUUAUUUUAUUUAAAUUUAAUUAUAGCUUUUUUAUAAAAGUUAACUGGAUCAAACUUAUUUAAAUUAUGAGUUGAUCCCUAAACUUCAAAUUAUUUUAAUUACAUCUUUCAACUAUUGAGGUUAUACCAAUUAGAUAUUUUUGUUAUUAAAAUCGUUAAUUUAACUAUUAAAUGACACAUUAAAUCUUAUAUGAUGAAGUUUAAAACGGAAAAAACUAAGAAAAAAUAAAUUUGUAAAACUCCUAAUUUUUGAGGUUUUCGAAAUUCUUACAAAAGGUUUAUCGUUGAUUUUUUUUUCAAAUCUACCUUUUGACUUUUAAAAUUGAUGCGAUAAUGUUCUAUUUAUUUAAAAUUUUAUUUAAAAUUUAAUUACAUAAAAAUGUGACAUGUAAUAUUUAACGGUUUUAAUAGCGAAAGAAACUAAUUAAAAUAAUAUCAAUAGUUUAAUGAUGUAAUUAGAAAACUUUAAAGUUGAAGGACUAAUUUAAAAUGAAGUAAUAGUUUUUUUUUGUAAAGGGUAAAGGUGUGAGAGAUAAAUCCAAAAUUAAAGUGAAUCAUGGGUAAUUUAAUCAACAAUUUAAUUAGAAUGCGGAAAUAAGUAGAGAGAGAGAAGAGGCUGACUGCUUCAACAUGAGAUUUGAUUGGAAGAAAGCAAUGAGGGAAUCUACAGGGAGAAAAGAACAUUAUGUUUCAUCAUAUAACCGCGUGGAAGUUUCUACCCAAUCCUAAACAUAACCCAAUUUUCCAAUUUCACUCGGCAAUCCCUCUCCCUUCAUCCAUCCCCCCUAUUUAACAGCCAUUUCCACCCAAAAGAAAAAGCAUAGCUCAGCAAAGGACAUUAUAAAAACAAAAAAACCCCCUAAGAACGACGUACUGCUAAUGGAGAUCCCAGCUGGUUUUCGGUUUUUUCCUACAGAAGAAGAGUUAGUUUCCUUCUACCUACGCAACCAGUUAGACGGCCGGAGACAAGAGAUGCACAGUGUUAUUCCUGUUCUCAACAUUUACGAUGUCGAGCCAUGGGACCUUCCUCGUAUUGCUUUCUUCACUCCUCAUUACAUUCUUCAAUUUUAAACAUGCUUAAAACUGACCGGUUUAGUAAGUUAACAUGUUCCUUCUUUUGUCGCAGAGCUUGCGGGGGAGCGUUGUAGACGAGACACUGAGCAAUGGUUUUACUUCACACCAAGACAAGAGAGGGAAGCUCGAGGUGGGAGAGCUAACCGAACUACUGCUUCUGGCUACUGGAAGGCAACAGGGUCUCCCAGCUAUGUCUACUCCUCCGAUGACCGAGUGAUCGGAAUGAAGAAAACAAUGGUUUUCUAUAAGGGGAAAGCUCCUUCUGGGAAGAAAACCAAAUGGAAGAUGAAUGAGUAUAGAGCUAUAGAAGCUGUGCCCAACCCGACUGCUGUUACCACGACUCCGAUGGUGAGCAUUAUAUAGUUGCAUACUGUUCUUCAGGCUCAAAAGCUCGAUAUGAACUUCUCCCAUUUCUAAUCAUUUCUUGAACUAUUCUUAAUGCAGUUGAGACACGAAUUCAGUUUGUGUCGAAUCUACGUGGUAUCAGGCAGCUUUCGAGCAUUUGAUAGACGCCCACUCGAACCUGUAUCAAAAGCAACACAACUUCAUGAGAAUAGGACUGCAACAUUUUCAGAGAGAGCCUCUAUGAUGGAGGUAACAAGCUCCUCAAGUACUUCACACACUGGAGGAGACCACUCUGAUCAACCAGAGGCAAAUGAAGAUGAUAUUUGGGAGAUGGUUAACGAUCUCGAAGAACCUCCCUUAGGAUGGGAACAAAUGAACUGGACUGGAGUUUAGCAAACAUUAAUAAGUAACCACUCCUUGAUGUGGUAGAUAGGAUAGUACCAAAAAGCACGAGUAAAAUCUAACUUCAGUAAGUAGCAGUUUUUCAUCUUCAACAUGAAGGUUAAUGUAGAUGUAAUAACAAAUAAUCAAAGAUCUUAAGAGAUCAUUUUAUGUAAAAUAGGAUUAAUUUUUUUUCGAGAAAUCGAAGUUAGGGAAAAUCCCAUUGUUUUUGUAGAGAUAUCUGUCACUGCUAUUUAGGUCUAUUCAAUUUGAAGAUGCACUUGCCGUUACUCUCUGCUGAAUCCCAUUGUAAAACUCAACACCUGAAGACAAGCAAACAAAAUAACUCAAACAAAAUGAUGAAAUAGGACAAGGUUAGAAGAAAGACUACCAGAACAACAGCGGAUUCAUAAAAGGUAAUAACAAUCAUAAAGGACAAACAAGAAAAAUUUGUAGUCAGCCCAUCUGCUCGUUGACUCACUAAACAUCUAAACCAGAGUUUUGUUGAGUCAUAAUCAUGCAUGCCUCUAUGUCACCAAGGAGUUGGAUUGCUCAUAAUCUAAUAUUUAUGCAGACCUCGGUGAUGGUGUUUUGUAGGGCUAUAUUACCCUUCAUUUUUCUUGAAGUAUGCGUGUUUGACACUUAUAUCCUGUGCGUAUCCAUAAAUUAAUGGGUAUGGGGAUAUUGACCUUUCAAAAAUCCUCCAAAUACAUGGAAAACCUUAGAAAAAGUGGGACAUAUCUGUACCUAACACUUGCACCAAGUUUGAGUAAUAUAGUUUUAAGCUAAACCGAACAAAGCUUGAGUGCUGACUCAACCAGAAGUAUUCAUGCUCCAUCUUGUAACCAGAAGCCACCUCUACAACAUAGUUCUAGUGUAUCAAUACAAUAAAAAUGCUUAGCUGGUAAUCUUCAAUUUUUUAUUAGCACAAUAGCAAAAGGAAGGCAUAAAACAAAAAUAUAGCCUAUUCCAACUCAAGUUUCAUGGUUGAUUUGUUCUACCAAUUAUGAGCAUAAGAUCAUAGAUAACUCAAUCUAAAAAUAAAGUCUUACAAAGGAUAUUACAGGAUCAGAAAAGCAUUUUGGAUCAUUCUAGGUUAUAGAUCUCAACCUUGAAAAAUCUUUGCAAGUUCACUUGUCAAUAUAGAGUGAUGACAGCUCAUCGCCAACCCCGUUUCAAAAGUUUUAAACAAACCAUCUCAAAAUAUCAAUGGUUACUUACCUAACAAGCAAUAAUGGUCAAUGCUGUAGUCAAUCUUCGUCGAACUUGAUAAUGUUCCGUUGCCUAUAUAAUAUACUGGAGAGAACCAAAAAUGAAAUGUAAAAGUAGUUAAAUGAUUUAAUAGAUUUAUGAUGAAAUAAAAAGUAAACAAGGAAUUUCACUUGGUGAAUGCACGUAGACCAUGGUUCGUUGUAUUGAAUUCAACAUGUUUGAAAAUGGAACCUGCCAAAUGUUUUAUUCAAAUUUUUUGACCUCUGCCCUGCAUGGGACAACUACCAGCGUAGAAAGAAGUUUCAAUCACAAUCUGCCUAAAAAUUGGUUAUACAUCAUCAUUACGCAUUGCUCCUUCCAUGGACAAAAAGAUUAAAUAAAUAACUCCUAGGGAGCUUUGAAGAAAUUAUUGCUGCCUGUCGCCACCUGAGUGGGCUAGUUUUCUUCCCAACAGGACCUUUCCUAGAAAUGUUUUUUUGACAUCAUACAUAUAUUGAUGCUAUGUGUUCUUGGCACUUCAAUUCAUUGUAGGAUCAAAGUUUUCCUUUAGUCUUUUCUUUUGUCCACAGAAUGAUUUGUUUUGCAACCAAACUACCGACUUGAACACUACAUGUUCGUGCACAGCCCUGACUGAUCCCUUUUCUUCUUCUUCGAGCAGCUCAUGAUCAAAGAAUUGAGCAAAUGAUAGAAACUUAAUGACAUGUUUUUUGUACCCACCAAGUAUGUUCCGAACCAAAUAAUUUUCACACCUAGGCCUCUCUUCAUGCUCUUUUGACCUCAUAAAACUCAUAGCAUUAAUUAAGAAAUUGUACCUCAUUGACAGACUAUAGCCAACAUCUAUAACUGAGGUAAACGUCACAACUUGCAUAAUUAGCAGACUUGACAAUUGCUGCAUCUCUAUGUCUAUACGUAUACAUCAUCAACUCGUUCUCUCCACUUAUAUAUGCUGAACAAUCUGGAAAGCUUCUAAAACUACCAGAAAAGUUCUCAAUAUAACAUGAAAUCAUAUGGAAGUCUAUCCUCAUUUCCUACAAGCUCAGGUUUGAAGAGUCAUCAACACUAAAUUGGUCUGUCUGAAAAAUGCCUAGUGAUCUGGCUAUAAAUUCCAGUAAUUGCGUGUUCCUUUAGUCAUUACAAGAUUCAAAUAAGUACAUUACAUCUAAUGCUUUAGCAGUCUAUUAUUAAAACCUUCGAGCUCAUUGCUUCCUGUUUCUACUUUUCUCAUGGAGAGCAAAUAAGCAAUAGUUUUGACUUUGUCCUAAAAACUACAAGCAAAAAUAGUUUUUAUUUCAGGAGAAAAUUAGAGGUCAACUGUGUUCUGGCAGUUCUACUACUGUGUAAAAGUGUGUUGCAUAACUUCUCCUAGACGACAGUGAAUUAAAUCGGAAAUAUAUGAAAGAUUGACAGAUCCAAACUUUUGUUCUUUUCAUUUCUUUUGUCCGAGAAGCUCAAGUGAUUUAGCUUUAAACUCUCAACGACCCAUUGCAGCUAGAAACUUUAAGACAAGUGAUUAGUUCUUGUCUCAUAUAAUUCAGUUUCAACCACAAUACACACACUGACAUCAGCUUAUUGUUCAAAAGCAGUAGCUCCAUAGGAUGAAACAAAUAACUUCCUCUUAGUCAAUUAAUACUUUAAUUAGAUAUGGUCUUUAAGAAACUAAAUACAACUUAUUCAAGGGUAUUUCCACUAGCCAACCACAGACCCUUAAAUCCUUAAGGACUAGAUAUACUAAACUAUUCUAAAAGGUUUAAAAUAUGUUAAAAGAUAACACAUGACUGGAAAGUUAACCCAAUAUGGAACUUUUGUCAUCACUGAAUUGAGAAAAAGUCAGCAUCACAUUUCACCGAAGUCCAUUGUUUGACAAAUUUGUGACAUUUAAAACAUGAUGAUGACCACAUCAGUGUUCUUUCCCUUUUUUUUGCCAUUUGUAAAUAUGAGAGAGAUGGUUUCCCUUACUAACAAUAAAGAAUUCAAACAAAAAGUCAAAAAUUCAAAGAAGAAACAACUAUGUUUGCCAAUAUCCAACAAUUAGUCCCCACAAUUAUCACACGAAGAACAUAUUCCUGCAAUUUCUUUUUUGUCUUAAAAUCUCAGCCUGAUCAAGGGAAGAGAUUAUUAGCUUCUCAUAUACGUUCCUAUCGUUCUUCUUCGCAACAAUUUUACAUUGAAAAGUAGAGCUCGGAGAAGUAUGAAACACAAGCAAUCAAACACUUAACACUCAUUAAAGAACAGAAACCAAAUGAGAGUGAUAUAAAUUAUAAAGCGCCCAAUUUUUAACAUUUUUAAACAACAAAGAACUCAGAUUUAUUCCAUUCUAGACAAACCCAAACUAUAACCAAAAAAUGAAAUUUCAGAUUCCACUGGUAAUGACAAAAUUGAGUAAAAAUCUCACCUUGGACUUGUUUUUGGUCCCUUUACUUUUGCCACCAACCUUGGUAUAGCAGAACCUAAAGGCAAUGAAAGGAGAAAUAUGGGUCAUUGGGCAGCAAAGAGACAAUUGUCUACUCUUUUUUUACAUUGUUGGUUUAGCUAAACAUAUAAGGUGAGGUGGUUGGCAGCUUUCAGGCUCCUUUGCCCAUGGUUAACUUCACGACUUUUGAACAGUCUAUCUAUUCCGUUCCCAUCUAACUUUUGGAUUUUUCAUUUUGUCUUAUUUUAUUUAUGUCUAAAUCAAAAAAGCACGGAGUAAAAAAUAUAGAUUAUGCUAGAUUAAUUAUUUUAUUAUAUUUAUAAAAAUAUAUUCAAAUAAAUUGAAAUAGGCAAUUGAGUCUUAACUCGAUUGAGAUGUGUAUUGUUGCCAAUAUAGGGAGACGUGAGUUUAAGUGCGCUGAAGUGCAUUAUCCUCGUAUUUAUAGGUUGGGAGGGGCUAUGGAUAGUUCUAAGUAUUGUGUCAAAAAGAACAAAUAGAAUAAGAACCUAUAUUGAGAUUGUUCAAAAAUAAAAAUAAAUUAAGAUAGUAAAAUAUUUUACAUUUGUAUUUUUGUUUUAAGUUGAAAUUUAUAUUUUAUAUUAAAUAUAAAAUGAUAAAAAUAUCCUUAUAAUAAUGUUUUUUAUUUUGUAAAAGAACUGAGUUGAAACUCGGUUAAAGUGAAUCAACCCUUUAAAUAACAAUAUAAGUAAAUAAAAAAGGAAUAAUGUCAAAUUUAGUCAUUAACGUUUACAUGUUUUGUUGACCAUCAAUAUUGAACAAUUGUCAACUUCGGAGAUUAACUUGGACCAUAAAAAGUUUAAGCCCUAAUGUGAAAACAAUUGUCAAUGCAGGAAUACUUGCCAAGUUUACCCCAAAAAAUAUAUUCACUCAUUGUAAAAAGUCAAUCGCGCAACACGGGAUCAUAUUCCUAGUAUAAUAUAAAACCAACUUUUAAGGGAGUUUUAGAAAUAAAUAGGGACAUAAUGAUCUUUUUAUAUUUAUAUUUUUUUCACUUUUUAUUAUUCAUCCAAGUUAAAUAGAGGUAAUAUUGGUAUUGUAAAUCAAUUUUUUUAAUUUAUAAUGUUAUGUUUAUUUAAUUAAUAAAUUAUAGUUAUAUAUAACAACUCGAAAGCUAGUGGUAUCGAAAAUUGCGAUUUUUGAGAUAUCAUUUCCGUAAAUUGAGUUUGUAAAUAUUAAAUAGGGAUAUUGCGGAAUUAUUAUAUUGAUGAAUUGAAAUUUGGUUAAGUGAUUUAGCAAAAAUUGUGAGUAAUUAAGGUUUAGGGAUUAAAUUGUAAAACUCCAAUCGCUAUAAAUUUUUAAUUAAGAAAUGGAUUGAAGACCUAGAUAGCAAUUAUCCAAGGGAUUAAAAGGGUAAAUAAACCAAUGUAAUUUAUAUAGAUGGUGGGACAUAAUGAUGGUAUCUAUUAUGACUAAUUUAUAAUUAAAUCAAACUAAACAUGUUUUAAUAAUUAAUUAAACUUAAUUAAGUUAAUUAGUUAACUAAUUAUAUUAUAUAUAUGUUAAGAGGGAUGAAAGCUUAUAAUCUCUCUCCCAACCGAAACCACCAUUGAAGAAAGGAAGAAAAUUUCAAGGUUUUCGUCAAACUUUCGGCUUUAUAAUAGGUCAUGCAAUCUAGUCAUUUUCUUGUAAAUUUUAUGGAUUUGAGGUCAUAAGAGCUUGAUUUAGCUAACUCAUAUACCAAUUUUUGAAACUGUUAAAGAUUUAGAAAGUUACCAUUGUUGAUUUCUUGAAGAAUUAGGUGUGAAUUUGAUAGAAUUAAAUUUAGUUUAAGAAAAUGACUAAAUUGUUAAUUACGUACAUUAAAGACCUAAUUGAAUAAAAUGUAAAAUUUUUGAGAACUUUUUGUAAGGAUAAAAAAUAGAGGGUCCCUAAUGGGUUUUGGUGAAAUUUGAUUUUAAUCCGAGGCCCUAAAUUGAAAGUUAUGUUUGUCCUUAUUUUAGGGACUAAAUUGAAUAAAUUACAAAAUAUGUAUGAAUUUGAAAUUGAAUGUGAUUUAAUAUGGAAUUUUUUUAUUGUAUUAUUAUUUAAAAAUUAUUCGUAGCUAAAGACGAUGCAAUACCGUUGAGAAGGAAAGGAAAGGCAAGAGUCAACAACGAGUGGCGCGAGCUUUCGGUUUGUGUUUCUAUGAUUUGGAACCAUCUAUUUUCUACAUGUUCAUGUUCAUUUGCAUUAUAUAAUAUUGAGGUGAGUUGCUAUUGGAUUUUUUUUAAUUGAAUUUCUUUGGUUGAGAUCGAAUAUUGAGACACAGAUUAAAUUGAAUAGAAUAGAAAGUUGAAUGACUUAACUGAUAUAGAAAAUUGGUAUGAAAUUAAGUUGAAUUAUGUUAUAAUGUAACACCCCUAACCCGUAUCCGACGCCGAAACAGGGUUACAGAGCAUUACCGAACUUACAACUUAAACAAUUAUACAUUUCAUAAUAAAUUAUCAUUCAAAUAAAAAACUAUUCAAAUACAUUCAUACAGUCCCUAAUACGAGCCCUCGAGGCCCCAAAUAGACAUUAAAAGUGGUUCGGGACUAAACCGAGUACUCAAGAAAUUUUUAGAAAAAAACAUUAAAACUUUUCAAAGUGCAGGGGACACACGCCCGUGUGGUCAGGCCGUGUGUCUCACACGGCUAAGAGACACGCCCGUGUCUUAGGCCGUGUGGGCAUUCGAAAUGGGGACACACAGCCGUGUCUCAACCCAUGUCUGACCCUAUGUAACUCACUAACUUGGGUCGCAUGGCCAACCACACGCCCAUGUGUCAGGCCGUGCAUCAUUCGAAAUGGCCUCACACGCCCGUGUUCCAGAACGUGUGCUAGGCCGUGUGAAAAAUAAAGGGUAUACUGACUUGUGCCACACAGUCAAGCCACACGUCUGUGUUCUAGGCCGUGUGAAGCUACCGACUUGAUUUCUAUAGAAGUAUCAAGGGACACACGGUCGUGUCACUUGGCCGUGUGUCACACACGGCUGAGACACACGCUCGUGUCUCUGCCUGUGUGGAUAAAAAUAGGUCAUUUUCUAAGCCAUAUUCCUCACCCACAUUGGUACCAACAUAUACACAUCAAUUUGCACAUAACCAUGGUAUAAAUAAACACUCAAAACCAACCAAUAUCAAGAUUAUAUCAUGUACUAUCCACACAUACAACAUAAUAUCCAUAAGCACAUUUAUAUGACCACUUUUAAACAUGCCAAAUAUACUUCCAAAGUCUACCUAAAUGGUUAAUCACAUAUAUGAGACAUUGUGCCUAAAACUUAGCAUACAUACAUAUCUAAAACACAACCAUUUAGUGCCAACACACAAUCUCACAAGCAAGGCAUUCAUAUAGCAAUUAUACACCACAUAUAAACACAUAUACCAUUUUCAAGCCAAAUCAAUUGACUAAAUAUACAACAAAACAUAUAGGCCACAUUAGCUAAAAUACCUAUACAUGCCAUUUAACCCAAAAUAUAAAGUCCAAAGUACUAAGAUAAGAGUUUGAUAAUGUGACGUGAUCUCCAACAACUUCCAAAUUGAACGAGCUUCUGAAUCAUUAUAAAACAAGGAAAUUAAAACAGAGUAAGCAAUUAAGCUUAGUAAGUUCGUAUAACUAGAAAUACAACUUACCAUUCAUUUACAAUCUAUAUAAGCAAAAAUUAAGACAUAGAUUAACUCCAUUUGGCCCAAAGCCUAACACAUAAUCCACAAUCAUGUUAGCCAUGUAUGAAUAUAUCAAAAUGAAUUACUUCUCGUAUUUCACAUGAAUACCUCUACUAGUUUGUUUCAAUCUCGUAUAACUUCGUAUCUUGAUUAUGCCCAUUGAACCAUUUGGAAUACUAUCGGAUAUUCGGGUAUCUCACACACUAAGUGCCAAUAUGUGGUCGAAACCACCUCUAUCUCAUAUCUCAUAUAGAUGCUUACUCUCGAGCCAUCACUGGGUCUACUCACACAAGUUGUCAGUCAAGACAUAGCUACACGGUGCUGCUCAUACAAGCUGUAAAGUAACCGUAACACAUGUCGAAAACUCAGCCACCGGUAGGACGUACGAGACCAACACCCAAAACACGGUAACCCUUAAUGACAUGUCAUUGGUAUCCUAUCUAUUCCUAAGGUUCAACCAAGAUCCAAUGCAUAAGUCGUCGAAUCUUUGUCGAGUAUUUCCAUAGAGUCAUAUCAUUACAAUUAUAAUAAUAAAGCAUUUAAAACACGUAUAAUUUAAUGCUUAUUAACAUACGAACUUACCUCGAAUUAGUACGAAAAAAAUCGAUUGAUCAAUCUACUACUUUAUCUUUUCCUCGAUUUAAUUCAGAGUGUUGUUUUUCUUGAUCUAUAUAUAGCAAAUUUAACUAAUUUAAUUCACAUUCUACUCAAUUCAAUCCCAAAAUUCAUGUUAUGGAAAAAAUAUCAUUUUGCCCUUAUACUUUUGACUUCUUUACAAUUUAGUUCCUAAGCUCGUAAAAUGAAAUUCAUGCAAUUUCAUCCACAUCUAAGCCUAGCUGAAUUUACUAUAUGCUUAUAGCAGCCUACACACUCCACAAAUUCACACAUUUAACACAAAAUUUUCACAUUUCACAAUUUAACCCCUAAUUAGUAAUUUUAUUAAAAUUCCUUUAACAAAAGUUGUUUAUUUAACAACAAAGAUUCAUUUUCUUCCAUUAAAAUUCAAAACCCUAGCAUUUUCAUCAAUGGAAAAUCUCAAAAUAUUCAAUAGUUUUGCAUAUUAGUCCCCUAGUUAGCUAGGUUAAGUUACAACGAUCCCGAAAACAUAAAAAUCAUAAAAAACGGGCUUAAAAACCACUUACAUGCAAGGGUUUAAGUUGCUGAAAUUUUGAGCUCUCCAAUGGCUAUUUUCUUGGUGAAAAAUAGGUGGAAGAUGAAAGAAUGAAUAAUUUUUCUUUUGUUUUAUUUAAUUUACUAUUAGUUACUUAAUUACCAUUUUACCCUUACCUAACUUUAAAAAUUACUCAAUUACGAAGCCAUGCACAUCCACUAACUGAUUUAAUGGCCUAAUUACCAUAUAAGGACCUCCACUUUAAAUUUCUAUAGCUAUUUAACACAUUUAGCUAAUAGAACACAACUUUCACACUUUACACGAUUUAGUCAUUUUUCGCAAAUUGAGCAUACCAAUGAUAAAAUUUCUUAACGAAAUUUUUAUACAAUAAUACUAUCAUGCUGUAGACCAUAAAAUAAUGUUAAAAUAAAUUUUACAACUUCAAAUUUGUGGUCCCAAAACCAUUGCUCCGAUUUCACUGAAAACGGGUCGUUAUAUAUAACAUAUGAUGAAAUGAUGUGGACUUGAGAAUGAUGGGACGUGAAUUGAACUAUGUGAUAAAAUUGGAAAUUGGUUACUUUAUUAGCUGUACAAGUUUAUACUUUGAUAUAUUUCAUGAUGCACUUACGUGUCAUUAUAUUUACUUCGGUAUAUCUGAUAAUGCUAUUACGUGCUAGUAUGAUUAUUCCAGUUUAUCUAAUGAUGCACUAUGUGUGCCAGUAUAAUUACUUCAGUUUAUCCAAUAAUGAAUUACGUGUGCCAGUAUAAUUGCUUUGGUUCAUCCAAUGAUGCACUUCGUGUGCCAAUAUAAUUGCUUUGGUUCAUUCGAUGAUGCACCUCGUGUGCCAAUACAAUUGCUGCGACUUGCUCGAUGAUGCAUUAUGUGUGCCAUUAUCUUUCCUUCGGUUUAUUUGAUAAUACAUUGUGAUGCCAAAUUAAAAUGAAGUGUGAUGGAUCCGUGUAUCCGAUCUGAUUUCGAGUAGGUUAAUAGGGUUACAAAUGAAUGAAUUGUAUAAAUGUUAUGUGAACUGAUAUAUGAAUUUGAAUUGUAAUAUGCGAAACAAAUGGAAAAUGAGCCCUAGGGGCCGAUUAAGUACAAAUGAGUUUAUGGACUCAGAAACGGUUGAAAAUGGUAACAUGAGAUUAAGUAUAAAUAUAUGUAUAAAUGAGUUCAAAAUGAUGAAUUUAUAUUUGAGAAUUGAAUGGUAUGUUUAGAUGCUCAUGUGAUGAAUUGAGUUGUAAAAGAGAAUGUGUACAAGUUAAGUAGAAAUGAUAGUUUUGACAUGAAUAGGUAAAUGAAUUGGCAUGUAAGAUUGGUAUAAGCAUAACUAUAUGAAAUUGAAAGUGUUUGACAUAAAAAUAUGAGAUUGGAUUAGGAAUUGAAUAUGUGCAUUUUGAAUAAUCUUAUUAUAUUGUCUUGAAUCAUAGAUUUACCAUUAGACGUAUUUUCUCAACGUACUGUUUGUUUUUCUCUGUGCGUAGGUAAAAUAGAUUCUGGUAGUUCGAGCAGUUGAUCCAACAUCCAACAAUCAAUCCCUGACUCAACAAAGUUCAUACAAAUUCUAUUUUGUUCUAAGUUUGGCAUGUACCUAAGUUGAUUUAUUUUUGGUAUAAUUAUGUUACAUGCAUUUUGGUUCAAAAAGUUAAUGUAUGAAUUUGGUUAAUUGAUUAUGGCUUGUAAAAAGAUUUAAGUUUAGUUUGAAAUAGUAUGAUAUCUGAAAUAUUAAUAGCCUUGGUGAAAUAGGUAUGAAUGUAUAUAAAGCAUUUGCAUUCUAUUGAGUAAGUAUUAAAGUACAUGAAUUGAAGUUAGAGGGUUACAUGUGUUAUCUAAAUAUGAAUUGAUUGUGUUUAGAGAUUGGUUGGAAGAAAAUUACAGGUUGAUGUGUAUUAAAAAUGCAGAAUCAGUAUGUGACGUCACAUUGUUGUUCGGACAUCAUCGCGACGAGAUCUGAAUACCAUGGCACGAUGCGACACCAGAUUUGGUCAUUGCAACGAGGUUAGACAAUAUGUUGCAUGGCAACAAGGAAUCCCCUGAUGUCACGACGUAAACUCAAUGUUUUAAAUUUGUUACAAAUUGGUCAUUUUCCGUCUCGGGUUAAUUUUAAAGCUUCUGUAAGCUCGUAUAAGACCCGAAAAUUGUCGUAUAUUGUAUUGUAUGCUUAAUUGAGUUGAAAAUUGAACAUUUGAUAGUAUGAAUUGGCUAUGAUUGUUCAUAGUUGCUCCGGCAACGAUUGUGUCACCUUGUAACUCGAACUCGGCGAUCAUGUCAAGUAUCAAGGUGUUACACUAUAAGUCUUAUUGUUACAUUUUUAAUAAUUGUGUUUUAAUUAAUUUUUAAAUAUUUUAUUUUUAUUUAAAACCUUCCUUUUAUUUCUUUUGUUUUAAUUUUAAAUAUUUUAACGUUUAUUUUAAUUCUUUAAUUCGAUACCUUUUCUAAUUGCUUAAUUGGUAAUUUAAUUUUUUUACAGGUAUUUUUUUAUAUUAAUUUUUUUAAUAAAUGUUUCAAGAUUUGUUUGUGUAUAAUUAAACAACAUUCUUUGAUGUUUUAGAGUGCAAAUAGAGGUCAAGCAUUUAAAAACCAUCAUGACUGGCUUUUCUAGGAUUAGUGGUUUUUUUUAACCAAGAAAGAGGUUUUCUAAGGAUCGAGUCCAGGAUCGAUGUCAGUUAAAAGACUUCAUAUAAAGUCAUUUGCCACUUCAUUCGGGGUUCAGUCAAACAAUUUAUGCAUGUCUAUUCUACCAUAAAAACAAAUUGUAUUUACUGACAGUUUAUAAAAGAAACACAUAAUAAUUUAUUUGAUCCAUUAAUUUUAUAAAAAAAAUAUUUUUGUCAUUCAUUUAAUUUUUCAUCUUUUUUAACUCUUAAACUUGCGUUUUUUUGUCAAAUCAUCUUAAAAUGGAUGAAAAAAUUAACGUUUUUUAACCUUGUUGAUGUAGUAUACACGUGGAUUGCUACGUGGAUGACACGUAAGCAUUUAAUUACUUUUUUAAAAUUUAAAAAAAUAUAAAAAUAUUUUUCAAAAUUAAAGUUCAUUAAAAUUAUUAAAAAUAUUUUUAAUAUUUUUAAAAAUCGAUGGGUCAACUCAUAUAACGUGGGGAGUUUAUCUGGUAGGUUCCUGAUGAUAUGGUACUUGAGGAAAUAAUGUGUCAGCCAAAUCAUUUGAAACCCCCUUGGUGGUUAUGGUAGCUACUUUGAAGCAAUAAAUGAAGUCAUGAAGAGAUUCAUUCUCUUUUUGGUAGAUAGACAUGAGGUAUACAGGAGACUGUUGUAGAGUUUUGUUGGCAAGGAAACGACUCAUGAAAAGCUUGGCUAGUUAGUCAAAAGUGCAGAUGGAUUCUUUUGGUAGGGCUAAGUAUAAUGCUCAAGUGAUACGUGUAAGGGUCAUUGAGAAGGCACAACACUUCAGCGCAUUAGACAGGGGUGUGCAAAAUUCGGGUAAAAUCAAAAAAAUUUGGUUAACCGAUCGAAUUCAGUUAAUCGGUCGGUUGACCGAAUUUUUUCGGUCGGGGGUCGGUUAAUUAUUUUUUGAUUUUUCGAUUAACGGUUAAUUCGGUUCGAAACCAGUCGGUUAACCGAAUUUUUUCGAUUUAAUCGAAAAAAUUAAUAAAUAAAAUUACAAUAUAUAAAUAGGCCCACUAUUCACCUAAACCCAAUCCAAACCCAAGCAUUCAACCCAACCCAAUUACCCAACCCCAAUCAUAAAAAUUACAAAUAAUUUAAUAAAUAAAAAUAAAAUUCUAAAACUAAAACUAAAGUCUAAAAGUCUAAAAAUAAUUUAAUUAUGUAGUGAUUCAAUUUGGUUAAUUCGGGUAAUUCGGUUAAUUCGGGUAAUCCGGUUAAUUCUGGUAAUUGGUUAAUUCGGUUAAUUUUUAACCAAAAAUAAAAAAAUAUAAUUUUUGGUUAAUUCGGUUAACCGACCGAAUUAACAGAAAAAAUUUCGGUUCGGUUAAUUUUUUUUGAAAACAUUUCGGUUCGGUUAACGGUUAAAAAUUUUGAAAGACCGGUUAAUUCAGUUAAUGUUAUUUCGGGUCGGUUAACCGAAUGAACACCCCUAGCAUUAGAGACCCCCUAGUAUAUUCAUAUGAUUAUUAUAAUGAGCCAAAUGAUCUUCUGGGUCUCUCGUACCACCAUAGGAGACCUUGGGGAAUUUGGAAGAUGUUAGGAAUAACUACUUUAUAGUUACUAUUAGUUAUUGUUAGUUAGUAAGUUGUUAAUAGCUUCAGUUAGUUGGUUUACUUGUAUUAAAUACUGACAUUGGUUUGAGUAAUUGAUAGAUAAGAAUUCCUUUCUACUUCUUUAUUGUUGAGGUUAACAUGGUAUCAAGAGCCAAAAAAUUUUAACAUAACGAUUUUUUUUCUUCUAUUCAUGGCCACGGAGGCAGUACUAGGGGUUGAUACACCACGUCACUCUUCCAAUAUUGGCGAAACAGUCCAUUCGCAGGGCCUUGGUAGUGGUGGUUUAUCAACAGUUCACUAUUUUGCCAAACACGAUACGAUCAAGCUUGCUGAGCAUAAUUUUCUAUUGUGGAAGCAUAAACUUUUGCUGAUUCUUGAAGGCUAUAGUCUUGAAGAGUUUGUGCUGGGCAUGGUUUCUGUCCCUCCUUCUUUUCUUGCAAGGGUUGAUGGUCAACUUGUUGAGAAUUCUGCUUUUCUUGUUCAUAAGAAGCAUGAUAAAUUUCUAACUUCUUGGCUCCUGUCGACCGUUACUGAUGAAGUCUUGGUCCAUCUCACAGUAGUUAAGACAAGUUUUGACAUCUGGACCACUAUUGAAAGAAGGUUUGGUACCACGUCUAGUAUCAAGAUUUUGAGUAUGCAUCAUGCUUUAUACUCGAUCAAGAAAGCCAACCUCACCAUUAAAGAAUAUUUGACCAAGGUAAAGACUCUCAGCGAUAGCUUAACAUCAAUUGGUAUUUAGUCACCGAGAAAAAACAAAUCAGUGUCAUAUUGGCUGGACUCUCUAUUGAGUAUGAGUCAAUCUGAGUUGUAACUCAAAUAUCCCUAGACUUGCUCACUGACAUGCUUCUUGACUGUGAAGCAAGACAACUAGCUCUAUUGGAAGAGGUUUCUUUGCAAGCAAAUUUGGUUACUAAACAUCAAGUUAGCACAGACUGUUUGAAACCUAUUUAUUCUCAAACUCCUAAGUAAGGGCAAAAGAGGUCAGGUCGAGGUUGGUCUCGUGGGAGAACUAGAGGUACUGGUGGGGGUUGGUCCCGCUCUAGGCUACAGUGUCAGUUAUGUGGAAAGAUUGGCCAUUUUGUUCAAACCUAUUAUCAUAGGUUUGAUGAGAAUUUCUCUAGUGUUAGUCAAAACUCUUCAGUCAACUAUCAUCAGGUUCACAAUACUGAUUUUUCAUCUUCUCCUACUGCAUGCUCAUCUAUGGCUCAUUGUUGUGGCUCAUUUUCUCAUUCACCACCUCCCCGAGCUCUUGCUCCCUUCAUCUCCGAUCAGACCUGGUAUCCUGAUUCUGGUGCAAUGAAUCAUGUUACACCUGAAGUGUCCAAUCUCACAACUGCCUUUCCCUACACAGGUACAAGCCAUCUUACUAUGGGAAAUUGUGAGUUUGUCUCUAUAGCUAAUGUAGGAUCAUCUACUUUCUUGGCUGGCUCCAGACUCCUGCGUCUUCAGAAUGUUUUACAUGUUCCUACAGCUUGUAAGAAUCUGAUGUUUGUGGGUCUGUUUGCUAAAGAUAAUGAUGUCUAUUUUAAAUUUCACUCGUUUCUGUGUUUUGUGAAGGACAUUCAAAUAUGGAUGACUAUGCUAGAGGGCCACAUACAUAAGGGUUUAUACAAGUUUCAAAUUUCAAAAUCUGCUCCUACCACAGUCAGUUCUACCCCAAAGCCUAGCUCACUUUUGCUGAACAAUGCUCAGAUUUUCUCCUCUUCUUUAUGGCACAACAGGCUUGGCCAUCCUUGCCAUAACACCUUUGCUCAUGUGUUGAAGUCUUGUAGAGUUCCUUUCAAACAAAGUAGUUUGCUUCGAAUAUGUACAGCUUGUCAGUUAGGCAAGGCUCGCAAGCUCCCUUUUCUUUUUUCACAUACAAUGUACUCUUCCCCUUUUGAACUUGUGGUAUCCAAUGUAUGAGGACCAGCUCAUAUACCUUCAAAUGGUUUCUCUUAUUACGUUUCUCUUGUCGACAUGUAUAGCAGAUACACUUGGAUUUAUUUUCUCAAAAACAAGUCUAAGAUGGUUCAGUGUUUUUUAAAUUUUCAUCAGAUGGUUAAAGUACAAUUUGGUCAUUCUAUUAAAAUACUACAAACUGACUAGGGGGAGAAUAUCGUGUCUUAUCAAAGGAGCUCUCUCAACUUGGUAUACAGCACAGGGUCACUUGUCCUUACACCAUAGAGCAGAAUGGGGUUGCUGAAAAAAAGCAUAGACAAAUAAUUGAUAUGGGCUUGUCUCUUUUAGCUUAGUCUGCUAUGCCUUUAAAAUUUUGGUUUUAUGCAUUUGCACAUGCAGUUUACUUGACCAACAGACUACCUACUCCUGUUUAGCAUCAAGUUAGUUCUUAUGAAGCACUUCACAAACUUAAACCUGACUAUGGUCUUCUACGGGUGUUUGGUUGUGCUUCUUUUCCUGAUCUGAGGCCAUUCCAACAACAUAAGUUACAAUUUCGAUCUCAAAGGUGUAUGUUUCUUGGUAGUGCUCCUAAUAAAAAGUGUUAUAGGUGCCUUGCUAAAGAUGGUCAGAUUUUUUUAUCUUGAUAUGUUCGAUUUGAUGAGACUCAGUUUCCAUUUCAUGAUGGUUUCUAUUCACAGUCUCAAGUCGGUUCUAUAAGGGGUCUUCAUCAGUAGUUCGUGCUUCCUCUGGUUGUAGCUAAUGAUUCUCUUGAACACACCUCCACACAGACAGUCACAAGGCCAGCCAAGGUCUCUAUUGUGGCACCUUCCCUUGUACAGUCUCCCAUUACUCACUCUCAUUCCAGUCCUUCUGCUGACUUCCCAGCAGUAGCUGAUGUGCCUACACCUUGUGGUCAGACUAAGUGUACUACAGCAGCUUCUUCGAGUGUGAACAUUCACCCCAUGCAGACUCGCUCCAAAAAUGGUAUUUUUAAGCCCAAAGUCUUUAUUUCUAUUCUGACUGAGAAGGAGCUCAUGACUAUAAUCGAAGCCUUUCAGAGUACUAUUUGGACAACAGCUACACAAGCUGAAUACAGUGCUUUGCUCGCUAAUCAUACUUGAAACCUUAUGCCCUUACCUGAAGGUCGUCGCGCUGUUGGUUACAAAUGGAUCUUUAAGAUCAAGAGACAUACAGAUGGCUCAAUUACUCGAUACAAAGGCAGACUAGUUGUUAUGGGAUACCUGCAGGAAGCUGGCAUUGACUUCCAGAAAACUUUCAGCCCUGUGGUUAAGCCAACUACAAUCAGAGUGGUCCUUACAUUGGCAGUGUCUUUAAACUGUCCACUUAGACAAGUUGACAUUAAUAAUGCUUUUUUGAAUGGGGAUUUGAGUCAGGAAAUUUACAUGAUGCAGCCACCAAGGUUCGAGCAACAAUGGCCAAAUAGUGAGCACCUAGUCUGUAAACUAAGUAAGGCUUUGUAUGGUCUUAAGCAAGCACCUUGGGAUUGGUUUCAUAAGUUGAAAGACUUUCUGGUAACCACAAAGUUCGAAGUCUCCAAAGCUAAUAAUUCUCUCUUCAUUCUUCGGUCAGAAUCUCAAUUGCUUUAUGUUUUAGUCUAUGUUAAUAACAUUAUCAUCAUUGGGAAUAAUUCUCAGGCUAUAGACCAGUUUGUUACUCAGUUUAAUGAUCAGUUUUCUUUAAAAGACUUAGGGAAGUUGAGCUACUUCCUUGGCAUCGAAGUCAACUACACUUCAGAAGGUGUGUUCCUUACUCAGAAAAAAUAUAUUCUUGAUCUACUUCAAAGAGCCUUCAUGGAUAGAUCAAAUGGCUUGCCAACACCAAUGGUCACUACAUGUCAUCUGUCAGCUGAUGCAGGCAGUCUUGUUGAGGAUGAGCGUCAUUACAGGAGCAUUGUUGGUGCCUUGCAGUAUGUGGUAAUUACUAGACCUGACAUUACUUACUCCGUAAACAAGGUUUGCCAGUUCAUGCAUAAACCUUUGGACUUGCAUUUCAAGGCUGUGAAAAGGAUAUUGAGGUAUUUACAAGGGACACUAAACUAUGGGUUGAGAUUCACCCGAGCCUCAAAGUUUUUGCUUGAAGGAUACUCCGAUGCCAGUUAGGGGUCAGAUGUUGAUGAUCGCAGAUCAACCUCAGGCUUCUCUGUGUUUCUUGGAGGGAAUGCAAUUUCCUGGAGCUCAAGGAAACAACAAGUAGUCUCUGGGUCUACAGCAGAAGCAGAAUACAAGAGUGUUGCUCAUGUUAUUGCAGAAAUAGUGUGGAUGCAAUCCUUAUUGAUUGAGUUAUAUGUUCCAGUUUUGAAUAAGGCUUUGAUAUGGUGUGAUAGCUCAGCUGCGGUUGCAAUAGUAGGGAAUCUUGUUAUGCACUCUAAGUUCAAGCAUGUCGAGUUGGACCUAUUCUUUGUUAGAGAAAAGGUUGUAGAUGGGAUGUUCCAAGUAGGACAUGUACCUGGUUCAGAUCAAAUUGCGGAUAUAUUGACAAAAACACUGUCAGUAGCAAUGUUCACCAAGUUUCGAGAUCAGCUUCGAGUUGUUGCUAUGAAUCAGGAGAUCUUUGAUGGGAAGAAAAGUUGACAACUACGAGGAAUGUUAGGAAUAACUACUUUACAAUUACUAUUAGUUAUUGUUAGUUAGUAAGUUGUUAAUAGCUUCAGUUAGUUGGUUUACUUGUAUUAAAUACUGACACUAGUUUGAGUAAUGUAUAGAUGAGAAUUCCUUUCUACUUCUUUAUUGUUGAAGUUAACAGAAGAUAGGAAAUUAUGGGUCAACACUUCUGGAGAAAGGGGUUUAUUGGAGUAACUCCAAGAAGUUCUAUUGGCUUUGGCCCUUCAAACUUUUUGCCACAAUUCCAUUCUCAAUGCUAUCGUAUGCUCCUCCAUUGAUGGUUAUUGUUAGUGGGUAGGUCAUUCGAUUGAUGGCGCUCGUGGUCAUUGCAGAUGGUAGAUUGGGCUUCAUUGUUAAGGUAGACUAGAUUGCCCCUCUUGGGGAUCUCAUGGGUAGAUAUGAGCUCAACUAUCAAUUGCUCAUUCAGAGCAUUUUUUUUGUUAAGGAGGCGCUAACACUUUUUUUGCUAUUGGAAACAGUGCUGUUGCUCAAAAAGUCGCUCCUCUGUACGCUGCAUCAUCUCUUGCAUCUCAAUGACUUGAUGCUAAGAGCCAGAUGGUUGCUGGUGACAAGUUUGAUCCAAGGGAGUAGCGGUGGCAACUGCUUGAUGGGGUGGAGCGACAAGGUAGGAAGAGAGGGCAUAUUGCAGGUAUUGUGAUGGAAUUCUCUAGGGACAUGGAAGGAGGUGUUAGAGGUUGACUUAGACUUUGAAGAGACAUGCUAGUGGUAGUGGGAUGAUGUGAGUAGUUGGAAAAGUGGUGGAGAGGUUGAGAAUGUAAUGGAAAGGCAGAAAAAUAAAACUCUAGGGAAAAAAGUUGUAAUAAAUAUAAUUAUAAUUUAUCAUAAUUAGUUAACAAUUUUUGACUAAAUAAAAGUUGGUGCUAAUUUUAUUGAUGUAAAAUAAAGUUAUUAUUUAAAUAGAAUUUUAAGCAUAUUAAUUAUUAUUUAAUUAAUAAUAUAGUUAAUUAAGUAAAUUAAUUAUUAUUUUAAAUAAUGUUACUUUACAUUAAUGUAUCUAAAGUAAAAUUAUAUUGUAAAUUGAAAAUGUUAAAAAAACUUUAAUUAUUAUUUAAAAAAUUUCUGUUAUAAUAUUUGAAUUGGUACUUAAUAUAUUCUAACUAUAUUCAAUAAUUCAAAUAAAAAAUAUUAUUUAUAUUAAUUACUAUAAUUUAAAAUUUAAAAUUUAAAAUUUAAAAUUUAAAAAAUUAAUUAAAUAUUAAACCAAUAAAAUCACAUGCAAUAUACAAAUUAAUUUAUUAAAAUAAUUGCUAAACAAUUGACAUCCUCGUAUAUUUGAAAAAAAUUAUCAAAGAGUCCUUUUGUAAUAAAAAGAAUAAACUAUAAGAGUAAUCAUCUAAGUUUGCACUUGAUUUAGUCUUAAAUUUAAAAUUUUAACAAAUUUGAUCAUUGAUAUCAUAAAAUUUAAAUUUGUUAGGUCAAUAAAAAUAAUCAAGUUAAACUUUUUGUUAUUGAAUUAAUUGCAACUAAAAUAUGGAAAUUUGAGUGAUUAAAUUGAAAAAAAGUUAAUAGUUAGAGGAGUUUAAAAAUAAAUUUUAUUUAAAAGAAAAUUAAAAAACAAAUUGAAAUAAAAGAAAGGAAAGGAAACUACCUGGCGACUUGUAGUUGCCAGUUGCCUGCCUCAGCCAACAACAAAGCCAUCUUCGACUUCUUCUUCUUCUUCUUCUUCUUCUUCUUCGUCAAUUACUCAAUUUCUAUUUCAUAUAUUUCUUAUUAUAAUUCAUUAUUACAAUUUUUUACUCCAAUUUCUAAUGAGACCAAUACGCCUUCCCGAACCUCCCAGCCCCACCAUAGGAGUGCCGGAGAUCUUCGAAGGCGGCGCCUACAGCGUUAUCAGACGCGCCGUCAUCAUCGGCAACGGCUACCCUGGAUCCGAGAAUCAGAGUAUCGGGUUGGUCCGAGCUCUCGGCUUAUACGACAAGCAUGUUCUUUAUGUAACUCCAUUUCAUUUCACCCCUUAUCUGAAUCUUUUUAGCUUUGCUCUAUUGAUUGCUAGGGUUACUCUAUUCUUCUUAGUUACUAUAAAUUUGACAAAACGAUUACUGGGGAAAAAAAAAAAGGUUCUUAGUUACUAUUGAUCUCUAAAUUAUUACUAUUUUAUUAAUUGAUUAUCCGUUGUACUGAUACCAGCGAGUUACGAGGCCAAGAGGAGGGAUAAACGAGUGGCUUCUUUGGCUUCCAGUUAGUCUUCACCAAAAAUUGGAUUAUCUCAUCCAGCUCAUUCAAAUUUACUCCCGAGGGAGGAAUUAUGUGCCUUUACCUCUAGAAAAUGGUGGUGGAAGUGUUGGCUUGGCUUCUGUUUUAGAAGCUGAUGUUAAGCAGAUCGUAACCAUGGCUCGCCAGACUUUUGAAAAGUACUUCAACAUCGGUUAUCGAAUAUGCUUAUAGUUGUUAAGCCUAGAUAGUAUGUUUAUAUAGCAUAGUCACCGUCGGGUCGCAGAAAGGUUCAGUAUACUUUCUUAGGAUUUGGAGGAAUUUCAUGAAACCUGGUUCACACUUCAAUGAUUGUAAAUGCUAGUGUUUUAUUACUUUUCUUGAUAAUUUGAAUCCAUGUUUGACUGAUUACAGUAUAAAAUUUGGUAUCUUUUGUUGCAUGUUGAUUAUUUCGUCUGGUACUUAUGGAUGGUUUGAUGGUUUUUUUUCUAGGGAUGGUCCUUUGCUGGUUGUUGCAUCAGGAAGAGAUACCAUUUCAGUUGCAAGUUCUAUAAGACGUUUGGCCUCGGAGAAUGUUUUUGUCAUUCAGGUUUGUAAUGGGCCUUAAUUUGGUUUCUACUUUUUAUCCUUCCUAGCAUGCGUCACCUUUAUUUUCUAUUUACGGGUAUGCUGGAAAAAGAGGAAAAAGUUACCUCCUGCUCCAUUAUGGUGAUAUAAUCAAUGUGUCAUGUCUUUAUUCACACAUUCCUAGGCUUUAUGAUGAGCUUAGAAUGAGUUUACUAGAAAUAAUGAAUUGAAAUUUGCAUUACUGAAAAGAAUCGUGCUCUAGAAAGCCACUUUAAGUGUUUAUUUGCAAAGUUCUCUCUCUCAAUCUUGCAUCUAUGUGGUAUCUACAAUCUAUCUUACUCUCUCCUUGUUCUUAUGCCAUCCUUAGUUGCUUUUGAUCUUAUAUCCUAACAUAAAUUGGAUUUUUUGUUGCAUAUUGUUAUUUAACUUGUUUGGCAUGUUUCCAGAGUAUGAUAGCUUUAUUUAGUUGUUGUAUAUCUAAAUAUCAGUUUUUGCAAUUUCCUUACAUUGCAGAUACAACAUCCUAGGUCACAGUUGAAUAGGUUUGAUUUGGUGAUCACCCCUCGUCAUGACUUCUAUCCAUUAACUCCUCAAGCUCAAGAACAGGUUCCACAGUUUCUUCACAGGUGGAUUACUCCGCGUGAACCUCCUGAUAGGCAUGUGGUAUGUAUUGUCAAUCUAUAUUACUACUAUUUGCGUACUUGUAGGAACUCUAGCUUUUGGUUAAACUUUUAGUUUCUAUCUACUGCUGAAGAUAGGUUUGUUGUCAACUUUUUACAUCAGAUACUCACUUUGGGAGCUCUACAUCAAAUUGAUUCAGCUACACUUCGCAGCACAGCUGCUGCAUGGCAUGAUGAGUUUGCACCUCUGCCAAAGCCCUUACUAGUGGUUAACAUUGGCUGGCCUACAAGUAACUUUUCAUCUUGCUUUGAGACUUGUUUUUACAGCCCGCCCCACCAUAUUUGGAGCUUGUUUUUCUCUCUUAUAGAUUUGUACAUUUGAUUUGUCUGAUCAUAUUUUUAUGCAUGUUAUCUAGAGAUACCUUGAUGCUGGUUAGGGAUCUUUUAGUCUUUAUGGUUGCCACUUUGCAAAUAAUAUUCAAACUUGGUCUCUUCAUCCUCCUUUUUUUUUGCUUUAUAUAUAAAAUUUCAUGAUGCUGAACAUUUUACAUGGUGGUAAUUCUUCAUGAACUUCGCUUAGGUUGUAGUUUUUGGUUAUUUUAUUUUUCCUUGAAAAGGAAAUGAGAAUGACUUGGAGCAUGGUCACUUUUUUUCUUAAUCUCCAAUAAAUACUUGGAUUUUGGUGUAAUUAGAUACUCAAAUGAAGAUUCUUUUUUUUUUUCCCCUCUGCUAUUUCUUUUAACCCUAUGCUUUAAUGUUUUUUUUGUAUGUUCAUCGGCUUUCUGGUUUUCUCUGCAGGCCACUGUCGAUAUGGUGCAGAUCUUGCAAAGCAGCUAACUGCCUAUCUUCUCAAUAUCCUUUCAAGCUGUGGCACUGUCCGAAUAUCCUUCUCCAGUAGGACGCCCGAAAAGGUUUUAAUAAAUGACAAUUCACUCAUAAUUUCUUUCUUUUCUUCUAUGAUGACUAAGAUUAUGUAGUUUUUACCAUCAACUUGGCUGACAGGUAUCAAAGAUUAUUGUGAAAGAAUUUGCUGAUAAUUCAAAAGUUUACAUCUGGGAUGGUCAAGGUAUAUUCAGUUGAUUAAAUUUAGUUUACAAGUGAAGUAUAGAUUGUAUUUAAUGAGAUUUAUAUGUCUAUCUUCAGAACCAAAUCCACAUAUGGGGCAUUUAGCUUGGGCAGAUGCUUUUGUCGUCACAGCAGACUCGGUUAGUCUGAUAAGCGAGGCUUGCAGUACUGGGUACGAUCAUUCUUUACUGAUAUUGUUGAACAUGUUGAACCCUCUGGAUUAUUUAUUUUAUUGUGUGAAAUUCGGAGUUAGAAUCCACUUUUGGUUCCUUGCAGGAAACCUGUCUAUGUUAUGGGGCCUGAGCGUUGUAAAUGGAAACUAUCAGACUUCCAUAAAUCUUUAAGGGAACGAGGUGUGGUUCGGCCAUUUACAGGUUCUGAAGAUGUAAGUAAAUAUUCAAUGGCAUCCUUUCAUUUACUUUUAUUCCAUCCCUUUACCGUUAGACACAGUUUCACAAGACUGGAUGAAGUUACAUUUACACCCAACCACGAGACUGGGCUGAACCUAGUUCCUAACCAAUUUUCUGCUCUUUCAACCAUUAUAACUGGAUUAUAUUGAAUAACGAGAGCUCUUCCGGUAUUAAUUAUAUGAAUAAAUUCCCUGGUUGUCUUUUAGAUUGCAGAAAGCUGGAGCUAUCCUCCCCUCAACGACACGGCAGAAGCAGCAAGUCAGGUGCGUGAAGCACUUGCUGAGCGUGGAUGGAGGGUUCGGCCAUAACUGAAGGUGUCGAUAGUUGUUGUUGUAAGCACACUGUUGAUUUCCUUAUUUUUGAAACUUGAAGCCUUAAGAUUUGGGUUUGUUGAAUAGCAUAUAAAAAUACCACCUUCAAAUUCAUUCUUCCCCAUUCAGGGAUUUUCAAAAUAUUGUUACAUGUAGAACAAAGGCCUUAGCUAUUUAGAGCGGCUUGUAAAGCAUGAAGAGGAGGGACAAGCAUAAAUUUAUUUUAUUUUUGGAAGAGUUUGAUUUACACACCUGAAAAACAGAUCUGAUGAAAUGAAAUUUGACAACACGUCAUGCCAACAACAUCCCUCUGUGGUGCUAUAAAUGUGUAUUUUUCUACUGUCAUUUUCAAUUUUUAAUUUGCACGUGGAAGAGUGUUGUUUUCGUAUAGGUUAAGCAUGAGGCAUUCCAUAGAUCUACUUCAUCACAACAUUCUGUUCUUUCCUGGGAAAAUCUUAGCAUUAUUAGUUUUAAUAAACGUAGUGCAUUUGUUCACAGCUCUGGGCUUGCUUGAACUUCAUGCUGAUUUUGCUUAUGGUAAAGAUUAUAGGGGUAUCAUCCAGAUACAUUACAUUACAAGCGACUAGAAAAAAUUCAAUUUCAAUUUAAUUAUCAAGUUUUUUUUUUAGUAUAAUUGAGCAUUUCAAUAUUUAUUCCAAAUUGAUUCGCGUAAUUUUACAGUGUGAAAUUUCAUUUUUGGAAUAUAAUUAUUAUUAUAUUUUUGGAUUUUAAACAUUUUCAAGAGCUGGUAAUUUCUUAUUUUCAAGCAAAGGUAAUCCUAUUGGUGUGCCUUUCUUUCUUAAUCUUACGUUUCUUACUUUUAUUAUUAUUUUUAUCAUUUUGUAUGUACAAAGAAAUGUAACUUCGAUUAAAAACGGGAUUUCACUUUUAAACACUUUUCUUAUACAAUAUUUGAGGUAGGGAUGGGUGGGGAUAACACGGUUUGAAUUUGUGUUGAAUGGGUAUCUAACAAAAUAAGGAUGAGGUAAUACGGUUUGAAUUUAUACUAAAUGGGUAUCUUGCAAGAGUUUUAAUGGCUACUUUCAAGUACCAUUUUACCAACAUGUUUAUUAUUAAUUAUUAUAUUAUUUAAAAUAGUAUUUUGUUUUUAAUAAUUUUAAGAGUUAAGUGGUUAGUGAUGUAAUCACUUUCAAUGAAUUAUUAUAUUAUGAGUUUAUAAAUUUAUUGAAACAUCAUAUAUUUACUUAUUAAUAUAUAAAUUAUAAUAAAUAUAUUAUAAGUUAUAAUUUACCUAUAAUAAUAAUAUAAGUUUGGAAGAACUUUUGAACCGACGAGAAUAUCCUUUAUUUUUCAUAAGAAAUUUAAAAAUAAUUAUAACAUGGAAAAAAAAUUAGACAAGAAGAAGAAAUUUAUUAAAAAAAAGGGCAAAGAAAAUUGGGAAAACAAUUUUGCCAUCCCACGUUUUAUUAUUGGACCUUUAUAUAAAAUAAGGUUUAUUUUUGGAUGAAACUCACUGCUUUCAUUGCUCUUUUCUUUUGCCUUUGCUUCAGUGCUGUUUUUAUGAGAAUUGUUCAUUUGAAGACUAUAUUAUAUUAUUAAUUUAGAUUAAAUUAUAAUAAUCAAUCUAACUAAAUUGGUAUUUAUAAAAUAUCAUCAUCUUAUUAAAUUGAUAUUUUAGUAUAAAAUUAAGAUAAUAAGAGAAAUUCAUGUAUUAGGAAUAUAAUUAAUAAUUAAACAAAUUCAUUCAACAAUCAAACAAACAUAGACACAAAAGAAAUUUUAUAACUAACAAUGAUUAAUGAUUAAACCAUAAGUCAACUAUAUUUUUAAGAUGAAAUAAAACUCUAACCAAAUUUAUAAAUAAUAUUUAAUCAAGUAGCAUUUAAAAAAAUUACCGAUAAAAAAUAGAAAUUGUUGAUUUAAUAAUAAUAAUAAUUUAAUAAAAAUCGUGAUAAUCACAUUUUAAUAAAAACAGUGCAAGAAGAAAAAAAAAGAUUUAAUAUCCGCCGGAAGAGAAGGUUUGAUGUCACUAGCUCGCCUGACACGGGAAAGAGAAAUUACCCUAUCAUUAGUAGCCACGUCACUCUCGUAAUUUUCACACGUGUUCCACGACAGCAGAGUAAGCCAAGUAGGCACGUGUGGAAUUCAUGAGGGAACAUCGUCCGCGUCAUCACUUUCCCCAAACGGUGGUGCGUCAUCACUUUCCCCAAACGGUGGUCUUACCUUCGAUCCCACACCUCCUUAGGGCCAGUUCUUCAUUGCUUUUGAAAAGUGCUGUGGAGAAGUGCUUUUGAAUAUUUGAAGUGUUUGGCAUUGCUGUCAAAAAGUACUUUUGAAGAAUAAAAUGUCCAUUUUAGACAUAAUAUUAUAAAGUAAUAAAUAUGUAUUUAAAUAAUGUUCAAAUUAGUUAAUAUUAUGAUAUUUUAACAAAAAUAUAAAAAAAUAAUUUAUUAUAACUUAUUGUUAAUAUUUUAAUAUAUAAUAUUAAUUUUAAAUAUUUCUAAGUAAUUAAUAUUAAUUAUUUGUUAAAUUUAAUUAGAAUAUAUAAAUGAUAUUUAAAUAUUUAAAUAUAAUAAUUAAAUAUUUGUAAUUAGAUAUUGACACAUUUGUAUUAUUUUAUUUUAAAAUGUAUUUGAAUAUAUGACUCAUAUUAUAUGUUUAAUAACAAUAAUUAUCAAUAACAUCAUAAAUAGGAAAACAAUAAAAAAAUAUUUAGAAUUAUUAAUGUACCUGGAGCCUACUAUCCCACCAUUCAUCCGAUGCAUCAACGGUUCUUUUUAUAGGAUUCCAACCUAAACCAGUAUCUUCGGCUUUAAGUUUCUUCCAAGCUUUCCAUUCUUUUUUUAGGGCAUCCCACCUAUUUUUAAGUUGUCUUUGUGAAAAACCCUUGCCCGUUUCUUUCUCAAAGUUGGUCAUUAUUUUCAACCAUCCAUCUAUUGUGAAAUGAGUACCAGGCCUAUUGCCUUUCAAUAUCUCUUUAAUACAAAUAUCACAAAAUAUUUCUGUCAAUCUCUUAUCUCACAUUGCUUUUACUUUUUCAUCACUAACUUCAACCGCCGAAGUACUCAUCUAUUGUGUAUACAAACAGUCAAGAAAAUAAAAUGUCACAUAAGUAUAUAUGUUUAGAUGUGUAUAUAAUGAUAAUAAUGAAGUAAUCCAAGAAAUUGAUUAAUGAUAUAACUUAAAUGGCGCAUAUAAAAGUAAGGUUAAAUAUCAGGAACUAGUUUGAGAAAGAAUAAACAAAAGAAAACCCCACAUAGAAAUGGAAACUUGGGCAGCAAAAUUUUCACUAAAACUCAACAAUUUAAUAUACCAUAUAUAUUUUGAGAAAUAAAUAAAUUGCCAGUAAAAGAAAGGCUACCCGCGCUUGUUGAAGGUUAAGUUAUACAAAUACAGAAAGUUAAAGACUCAACAGUCUCUUCAGUUCUCGGUUACUGAUUGCAAAGAGAUUAGGGGCAGUUUUCUUAUUUUUAUUUUUAUUUGAUGAUCCAAACGGAAGCCUUUCUUUCAGCCUUUUUCUUCUCAAAUGGUCUCUUCUUCUCAUUAUCUCUCGCUCUUUUCACUCUCCUCAUACCUGCCCGUAAAAACUCUUUGACCAAAAAUGGAUAAAAAGUGAACAUGCACACGGAAAUCUUUCAAGAAAAACCCAGAAAAACUGAAAUUUAUUUAAGGAAAGUGAGAAAGGAACCAAAAGGUAAUCUUCAUAUCAGAAUUAAGAGAAAAAAAAAAAUUCCCCAGAUCUUUUUUGUUCUUUUGGUUGUUUAAACUGCGUUUGUCUUUCACUACACUUAGAUCCUUUUUCGUUCAUAAACCCCUUCAAGGUUAGGUUUUUAUUCUCUCUUUUACGACUUUCUUUUAAGGGUUUGAUAUGUAUAAGUUUUUUUACUAUGUGUGUCAUUUUUACCAUUGAUUGCAUCUAUAGAAUUGAUGUUUCAUAUUAUACAUGUUUCCUGGUAUUGGAUAUGAUAUGUGUGUGUGUGUGUCUAAACUUUGCUUCCUAAAAUGUUGGUUCUGUUCUUGUAAGAGAUUAGUAAUUUAAAUCUACUUAUGUUCAGAUAAGCGUUUAGAGGUAAUUGCAAACAGAAGACAGUGGAAGAAAUCCAACUGCUGUUCUGCUAAGGUUGAUUGAUGGUCAUUAUGGAUUUUAAAAGUAUAACUUGGGUUGGUCAUGUACAUCAGAAAUUUGAAGCCAUGUGCCUAGAGGCAGAAGAAAUUAUGUACCAGGUAUGCUCCAUUUCAGUAGAAGAUAUGUUUCUUAAUAAUCUUUCUCUUGUAUCUUCCCCAACCUUUUUCUGCUAAUGUUUUGGAUUGUCUAUUACUUAGCUUCAGGAGUGGAAUUACACUUCUGGGAAAUGGAAUGGAGAUCCUAACGACAAAGGUAACAUUCUGGAUACUCGUAAAAGGUGUCUUUUAAUUUCUUGUUUCUAGUUACUUACUGAUGGCUUUGUGUUUCGUAUAGGUAUUCAAACUAGUGAAGACUACAGGUUCUAUGCUAUUUCAGCUGAGUUCCCAGAAGUCAACAACAAAGAUAAGACUACAGGUUCUAUGCUACCUACAGUAUCCUUGUUGACAAUGUUGAGAAACAAACUGGUAGCUUGUACACUGAUUGGGAUCUUCUCCCACCUAAGAAAAUAAAGGAUCCUGAGGCCAAGAAGGUAGUUAACCGUAAUUGGUCAAACCUGAUCUAAAUUAAUGUCAUUUUGGCUUAUUUUGUUCUCAUAUGAAUUUUGAAUACAACUUAAGUAUAUUGCUUCAUGGACAGCUUGAAGAUUGGGAUGACAAGGAAUACAUCCCUGAUCCCGAAGACAAGAAGCCUGAGGUAGUAACCUUGCCCCCUCAUUCUCUUAUGCUACUUUAUAUAUACUUCCUGAAAGGGCAUGGGCAAAAUAAUCUCGUCUUUGAUUACUAUAGGGUUAUGAUGACAUUCCAAAAGAAAUUCCAGAUCCUGAUGCUAAGAAGGUAGUCCUUUAAUUCGGUUUGGGUUUUGAUUCCAGAAACCCUAUGCUAACAUCAUUUGUUUUGUCCAUUAUCUUAGCAGCCAAUACCAUCUGUUUCAUCAUGCAUAAAAGUUCAGGCAACAAAACUCAUCCUACGAAAAAAAGAUAAACUCACCGGUGGUGGAGAAGAGGAACAAAGCACCAGCAGAGGAACAAAUAACCAGCAGAGGAACAAAAAACCAGCACCAGCAGAGGAACAAAGAACCAGCACCAGCACUAGCAGAAGAACAAAGAACCAGCACCAGCAGAGGAUCAAAGAAGCAGCAGAGAACAAAAAACCAGCAAUGAGAGAAGAGAUGAGAGCAAAGAACCAAUUUGUGUGUGGCUAAAAAAGUAAAACAGCAGCUUAGAAGCACUUUUGGGUGUAUUCUUCAUUGCUUUUCACCCAAAAGCACUUUUGGGUGUAAAAGUGCUUCUCCACCGGGUUGAAGAACUAGCCCUUACUAAUCUUCUAUCCCAUUUUCUCUCUCUAUCUAUAAAAGAAGAAACAACAUUUUCAAUUUCCAUUUUUCCUUUGUUUGCUUUCUUCCUCUCUCUUUUCUCUCGCUAAGUACUCUCCUUUGCCUUCAAGUUAUCUUCUUUUCGGCCUCGCCUUUAUUCAAAAACCCUAACAUACGACCUAAUACCCCUCCCCCCCCCCCUUUUUAUUUUUUUGUAUUCAUCUCUUGUUUUGCAAAUUUCAGCUGGGUCUCCAAACUUCCUCUCCUCCUUCCUUUGCAGGUGAUUUUUCCCUUUUCCUUUUAUUUCUUGCUCAGUCAAAGUUGGGUUUCUACUUUUUAAUGGUUAUAUUGCAUCUCUCUCUCUAAAAAAAAUAUUAUUCGGUUUUUGACUUCUGGGUCUUUCUUGGUCGUUGGUGGGGUAUUUGAUUAUUUUCUGUUUUGGAGUUUAUUUUAUUAUGUUGUUGCCAUUUUGCCUGCUUGAUUGGUCUAAGAAAUGGUAGGAAAAUAUAAAGAAACGAGAAGCUUUCGAGUAUUUUAAUUUUAGACAACAUUUUGGUUUUAACCAGGAAGUCAAGUUAGUUUAUUAGGUCCCUCCCUUUCAAUGAACCCUUGUUUUUUUUUUUUUUCUUAUUUACUUCAAUUAUGUGGUAUGUAACAAAGGGUUUUUGGUUCAUAAGAUGAUCUUAAAAUUUCCUACCUUGUCUUGGAAACCAAACAAUGUUCUUGGCUGAUAAAGUUUUCAGUCUUUGGUUGAUAUUUUUCUUGGAAAUUUUGGAUGGUUGUUGGUUGCAGCUUGGGCUAGUGAAGGUGAAAUUUUUGGGAAUUUUUCUGGGUACAAUAUUUUGAGUAAUUUGAGGGUUUUAUUGUUUAAAGUUCGAGGUCUGGGUCUCAUGAGACUUGUUAGGGCAAUGCAGAGAUUGUUUCGCGAUGAGGUGAACGUGCUGGGCUGGAAGAAAUCCUUCAGCCAAGGGAUUGGCGUUACUGUGCCCAAGGCAAGAACUCGUGACAAACCUAUGAGUAGGGUUUUGAAUUUCUAAAUUUAAGGGGUUUUGAAGGGAAGAAUUAGGACAGAGUAUCUCACUGAGAAUAGUUAUCAUCAAAAGCUAUGACUUGCAUUUGGUUCAAAGAGGUUCCACUGGCAGCUCUUCUUUGAAUCUGAGCCGCUCUUCUUCCUUGCCCGGACCAUCUGCUUUUUCUACUCAUCAAGUUCCUUCAGCUGCAAAAGAUGGGGAGGUUAAUGAGGAAGUGUCAGAACUAGUUGCUUCAGAUGAGCAUUUAGAGUGUUCCAGGAGUAGUGAGAAUAAGGGUGUGAAAGAUGAUCCUUUGGUAGAAAAUUUGCGAAAUGAUCGGAAUGGAACUUCAAGUGAUGCAAUUGCUGAGGCUGAGAAAGUGAACACUCUUGCUGCCUUGGGUUCAUGUGAUAUGAUGAAUGAUUCAGGUGAAAAAGUUGCUUCUGAAACCGAAGGUUCAAGUGGUGACCCCUCCCCAAUUGGCAGCAGAAGUUCUCAUCCUCCUCCACCUCCUGCUCCACCACCUAAACCUUCAUCAGAAAACUUAAAUUCAAGAAGAUUUGCCUCAGGAAGCCCAAAUCCUGUUCGUGCUGGAUCAUCUAGAAGAGCUGUUGCCUGGCCCAUCGUUUCUACGAGAACCUCACCAUCUGAGUCAUGGCCUUCUUCUCCUAGAUCUCAUGGUGAGAAUGAGGGUUACAAUAGUGCUGAUGAGCAAAGCCCAUGCUUUGUAUCCUCCUAUGGUGAUGCCGUAAGUUCUUUAUUCUGGAUAAUCAAAUCCUGUGUUUCAUACUUCAUUUUCUUAUGGUGGAAAAUCAUCUAGUAUGGAAAUUUUCAUAUAAUUGGCAUGCAAUAAGUAUUAUCAUUUUAUGCUAUUGUACUGUUUCUUUUUUGAAUGAUUGCCCUGGUUUACUUUAAGCGGUAUUAUUUAUCCAUUUGUAUCGUAAGGUUUUUAUGCUGAAUUUUUAAAUUAUAUUGUUUAUCUUGUUUGAAGAAUGUUCUGUAGGUUUAGUAUUCCUGCUGAAAAAGUUUGACCUGAAGUUAAUGCUUGGGGUAUUUUUUUUAAACGUCAGAUUAACUUCUGCUGGUUUGCUGUAUCUGAUCCAGGAAAGGGAGCGGCAAUUUGAAAUUGAUAUUAGACUAGCAAAAGGUUUAGAAGUCAAACGGAUGCUAGAAGAUGGGAACUGCCUCUUCCGAGCUGUUGCUGAUCAAGUGCAUGGGGACUUUGAAGCUUAUCAUUUGGUUCAUCAAAUGUGCAUUGAUUACAUGGUAUUAAUAUCUCAUACUUGAAUCCUGUUUUUGAAACAUAAUGAACCAUAGGAUGUUAUUGCUGCGUUGUAGGUCCUAGAUGGUUGACCUAAGACGCAUGUUAAUUUUAAACUGAGUGGAACAGUUUGGUGAAUGUUCCCUUAAAAAAAGAAAACCUUGAAUUAUUCCGAGAAAAGAGAACAUGUAAUUUGGUGAUUGCUGUUUCUUUUUGUUUGGAAAUAGAGUCCAAUGAUAGCUGCUGAAGGAGUUUUCUAAUAAUGUAUUUAUCUGCAUGGGAUUAUAAGUUUAGUUAACUGCAUGGUGAGGAGAUACGUAUUUCCAAGAUGUGGGAGAUGAGUAGAAAAUCAAAGAAAAAAGAUGAGUAGAGAGUUAAGGUUUCAUUUAUCUGGCAUGCCAAAAGUAAAAAAGAAGGCUAAAUAUUCCCGUUUUACUCCAGUAAAUUAAAAAAAAAAAAAAGAUCAAAGUACCGUGCCAUAAAUUCUGUUAUAUGAUUAUAGUGUGAUUAAUUAGCUUAGAGUUUUGAGCAUAAUUAGAGGAUAGAGGUUUGGCUUUCUAGGGAGGUCAUAGAACUUUCUUUAUAUGUUUGGUAAUAUAGGAUUGUCUCUGCCUUCAAUCUGUCUGAUGAGUACGAUCAAAGCUUAGGUUUUGAGGAUGUAUGAAAGUAACUGGGUUCAUUGAAAUGCACCUGAGAUGAGACAUCUUUGGCAUACAUCCUCUUGUAACAUGUUGAAUCUUUUGUAACAUGUUGAAAUGUUCCUUGAGAACAUGUUCACCAAACCCCUUAUAGGAUAGUACUGUUGUUGGCACUAAGAUCACGGGAUUGUCUUGUCUCUUUGUUUGGGUUGGCAUGUUUUCUACUAGUUAUUGUCUAUAAGCUAAAUUGAAUAUUUGGAUGUGGUUAAACAUAUCCAUGCGCUGUUUUGGAUCAUUGUAAUGUUUUUAGUUUGUUUCAAAGGAUUAUAUGAUUUCAUUUUCUUUUUAUGUUUUCCUUUUUUGGGGUGUUCAUAUAUUUAGUUUUGAGGUGCUUGAAUGACAUAAUUUGGAGUAUUCUCUGAUGUAUGCUUUACCUUUAUAUGUUCAUCCAGGAGCGAGAGAGAGAUCACUUUUCUCAGUUUAUAACAGAAGGCUUUACAUCUUAUUGUAAGAGGAAAAGAAGAGAUAAGGUAUAAAGAGGCUAUAACUUUUUAUACGAUCUUUAAUGUUCUUAUGUGAAACUGGUUUUAGCAUCAUAUGCAUAUAGAUAUAUUUCAAUCUCGGAGUGGAUUAUUACUCAUAUUUUGAUCUGUGGAUUAUUGCAUAGCCAAGAUUACAAGUGUUUCAAUUAAUCAAAUUUGAAAAAUACUAACCAUGCAUUUUUGUAUUAUGGUUAAAGCAUCGAUUUCUUGUAUCUGGGAAUGUAGGUGUAUGGGAGCAAUGUGGAGAUUCAAGCCUUAUCAGAAAUGUAUAACAGACCUAUUCAUAUCUACUCCUACAGCAUAGCUGAUAUCCUUGGUUGAUGUUUCUAAUAUUGAUUUAGUUUGUUUUUUUUUCUUUUACCAUCUUCUUACCUUGAAUGAACCAAAAUUUAUUUGAUGCAGAACCUAUCAACAUAUUUCAUGGAAGCUAUCAAACUGGUUGAGGUAUUUGUUUAGAAUUUUUUUUUAUUUUUUAAUGAUUUAUUUAAUUGAACUGAAUGAACGUGGCAUGAUUAAUUUAACCACUUAUUCAAUUUUAAAAUCAUUGUUUAUAAUAAAUUAUCUUGAUACUCUCAUAUCAAAUAAUUUUUUCCCUCAUAUUAUUACAAUGAAAACAAAAAUUUAAUGCAUUUUAUUUUCAUGAUUUGAUUUUAACCUAUCUCAUAUUGAUCUAUUAUGUUAGCUAAAGUCAAAAUAUAAAAUAGAGAAAUAUUGCAACGACUUUUAUGAAAUGGGAAAUGUUGCAAGGAGCUGAAUGAUUUGAAAAAGGGUGAUGUAAAUCAAACAACCCCUUUUGAGAGGGUUGAUGGUUCCAGCACGGCGGCUGCUUUCAUUGUCAACCACUUGAAAACUUAAAGUCUACUCUCAAGUGCAUUCGUCGCCUUAAUUAUCUUCAACCACCCCCCAAGUAUCUAAUUUCUUCGGAGAUUUUGGUUAAUUUAAUUUAGUUAGUUGUAUAUAUGAACUUUCAAAUUAAUUCCAGAAUACUUUUUUAAUAACCAGUUGUUGAUGAUUCUCCGGAACAAAACCCAAUAAAAUUCAAAGGUUUAGCUGAACAAAGAUAGGGUUCUUUGUCGACUCUAAAGAGGGUUAAUUAAUCACACCUCUUUUCCACAUUUUAUAUUAUUAUUUUUUUUAUGUCUUUGACAAAUUGGUUUGUCUCCCACUAAUUAGUUUCAUCAAAUCUUUAUCAAUUAAUUGCUUAAACCCAAAAAAAAAAAACAUUUUUCUUCUUAAAUAAAUAUAAUAUUAUAGAAAAUGUUUAAUACAUAAUUUGAUAUUUGAGUUUGACACUUUUUUCUAAUAAGGUACCUGCGUUAUUUUUUGUUCUCCUGAUCACUUGUACUUAGAUAAAAGUUAUAUAUUUUAGUAUUUGAAUGUCUAAUUCGAGUUUUAGAGUUGAUUUGAUGAAAAUUCAUAAUUAGUUCUGAAUUUUCAUCAAAUCUACAGUAAAUGUAAAAUUAAACAGAUUCGCAAUUCACACUAAAUUUAUUCUAUUAAAAAAAUUUAUGAAAAAUUCAAGCUUAAUAAUAUUAGCAAUUAACUUUCAUAAAAUUAAUUCUAAAAUAUAAAUUAAAAACUAAAGUAUUAAAUCAAAUUUCAUAUUUCAAAAAAAAAAAAAAAAAAACUCGAAUAAUAAUAAGAAAAAGUAGAAGAAGAGAAGAGGAAAUGCAAAAGCGAUUGGAAUAUAUAUUAUAUGUGAAAAAGAUGGAACCAUGUUGAUACUGUUUCCCGUUACAUCUAAUAAUUGUGAAAUUGGACAAAGCAGCACGCAUGGAUUGAAAAAGAAGAGUUGGUCAAAAGAAAAUGGGAAAAUUAAAACCCUUUUACUUUAGUUACAGAACAGUGGUAGUGGAGAUAUAAAUAUAAAUAACUUUAUUUGAAUAAAAAUGAAAAUCCUUCUUUUCAAAAAAAGAAUGUAAUUUAAUUCAGCAGUCGCUCAAGACUUCUUAUCCCGUCUUCUACCUCUUGUAGUCAACCCAGCAGGGUUUUGCUUCUGCCACCUGCCUGUCUUAUCCUUUGUAAAUUUUAUUUAUUUACCUAAGAUAUGGAAGACGUUGACAUAUUCAAAAUUUCCAUUAUUUGAAUGGAGAAGAGAAAUUUGGGAAUUGAAUCCCCCUAUAAAACCCAAUUCCCCUCUCUCUGCCUUAAAACAACAAAAUGAAUUCCACAACAUCCCUGCCCCUUCAUCAAGGCGGCAUCACCCCAAUCUCCGCCCUCCAUCCUGACAUCUUCCAAUCCCACAUCCUCGCCCUACUCGACGGCCCUUCCCUCGCCUCCCUCGCCUGCGUUUCCUCUCAAUUACACGCCCUCUCCACCCAUGAUAUUCUCUGGUUUAACAUUUGUUCUUCCACUUGGCCGUCCCUCAACCAUCCACGUCUUCAACAAAUCAUCUCUACUUUCCCCUCCGGCCACCGCUCCUUCUUCUCCGAUUCUUUCCCCUUCCCCGAUCUCCAACCGUUGAAGCUGGACGUCAACUCUUGCACUCUGCCAACGGAAUUAAUCUUCGCCGUUGAUGUUUACUAUCAAAACCAGAUUAUUUAUUCUAAAGUCGAAGAAUUGGACACGUCAAGCAGCUGGUUUUUGUGUUCCCCGUUCCGGGUGGAUUUACUUGACCCGAAAGAUUCGGCUUCGACGCCGGUAAGGUAUCUCGGUGGCAGUCAAGAUGAAGCCUGGCUGCAACAUUUGGAAGAGAACUUGAGUUUAAGCUGGAUCGUUAUUAACCCGACCCGGAAGAAGGCGGUGAAUGUGUCGAGUAGGAGAGCGGUUUCGGUGCAGCGGCACUGGUUGACAGGUGAUGUGCAGGUGCGGUUUGGGACAGUGACAGCAGGAGAUGAAGGGCGAGGAUCAUCCAGAGAGUUGGUAGAGUGUGGGGUAGUGGUCACGUGCUGCGGAAAAGAAGGAGGGGAAAUGCACGUGAGGGAAGUGUGCAUGGUAAUGGAGGACAUGGAAGGGAAAGGGUUGAAUGGGAAGGACAGUUUAGUCAUUUUGGAAGGGGUGAUAGAGCAGGGGAGGAGGAAAGGAGGGGAGGGAAAUGAAGGGAAGGGAAAAUUCGAGGAAUUCCAAGAGAGGAAAAGGGAGAGGAAAGAAGAGAAUCAAAGGAAAGAGAGGGUAUUGGAUUUGGUGUGCAUUACGGUUGGCGUCGUGGGUUUUGUUUCCUUUUGGUCGGCUAUAUUGUUCAAGUGAAAACAACACCAAUAUUUACUGUAUAGUAAAAUAUGAAAUUCAAAUUUGACAGUCAAAUGUAUAAAUUUUUACCAUAUCCAAAGUUCAUGAAAUUAAUUAUUUAUGAUUAAUUUGACCGACUGCAAUUCAAAAUGGAUGUUGCUCUCAAUGAGUUUUGUGCAUUUAAUAAUCGGGCUUACUUGGACUGCUCGCUCCUCGCUGCACCACAAUAUUUCUUCCUUAGAUUCUAAGGGUUUGGUACCAAUAUUUCGUUUUGACGCCAAAUGGAUGUUUCUGAUUAAAUUUAUAAUCAUGUUCACGUUUCAUUCUACCUUGUAUUACAAAUAUUAUAUAUAUAUUGGUAUCAGCAUGCUCGAAACUCAUUGGAGAUUCUUUAAAAGUACAAACCGUAUUUAAAUCUCCAGUAGCCAUUUUCGCCAAGUAAUUCGCAAUCUUAUUUUGAUCCCUUGAAAUAUGUUGGAAUCUAACUUGCUGUCCAUUCAUAAGUAGAGAGUGGAUGAGUCGUACCUCUGAAAGGCUAUUAUCCACUACAUAACCGUUGGUAAUAAUAUCAAUCAGAAUGAUAUUGUCACUUUCCACUUCAUUCUAUUCAAUAGAAAGUCCCUCAUAGAUCGCCCUUGCCUCGGUUUGAAAAUUUCCUGAUUUGCCAACUAUCAUUGUAAAGCCAAAAUAACUAGGUUCCAUCUUGAUUUCAAAACACCCCUUUAUUGCAGUAUAGGAUUUUUGAGGAGAGAAACCUCUUUCAGUGUUAAGUUUCACCAAACCUGUUGAUGGUAAGUUAUGGAUAAUUCUAAGUAUUAUACAUUUAAAAAAAGAAUGGCAUAGAAUAGUCACUUAAAAUAAAAUAUUUAUGAUAUGAUGUUAGUUUCUUUCUUGUAACAUUAAAAAAGUUACAAAUUUGGAAUUUAAAUACUUCAAAUUACCAUAUUUAGUGCAAUAUUUUUUAGUUCAUAGAUAAAAUAAAUGAUUUAUUAAAUAUUUGUUAUUAUAUAGCAUACAUGCAUAUACCAUUUAUAAAGCAAGUAACAUGAGUAUUUUAAGAAACUUUUAGUUCUAGGUUAAUUCCUUAAGUUGCAAAUGUUUCCUUAAUUAUUACCCCUAUAAUUAUGAGCCACACUAUUAACUUAAUUUAAUUAUAAUAUAUAACAUGUUAAUUUAAUUGCCAUGUCAUUACCCCACUAUCAUAUAAAUUGAUUUAGGAAUCAAAUCUAACUAAUUUUAUUUUAAUUUUUUGUUUAUUAUAUAUAUAUAUACACAAAUCUUAUAAUAUUUACAUAUACCGAAAGAUAAAAACUAUAUAUGUUUACGUUUAGGUAAAAGUUAAAAAAAAGUAAAUAUAUUUGCACCAAAAUUGAAAUUAAAAUUAAUUACCGGCACCAGCCGGAUAAUAAUAAACCCCGUCUGAGUUGUCAAAAUUAGCAUGUAAUUGAUUUUAACUACACAUCAAUUUUACUCCUUCAAAGCUACUGCCUCCUUUUUAAAAAAAAAAAAAAAAUUCAUUUACUCAAAAUGUAUUUGUUGCUUGCUAAGAAAGUUAUUAUCUGUAAGAACACAAUUCAACUACCAAAAAUUGAUGGUUAAAUAAAUGAGUAUGAACCUAAUUAAAUUUAUGGCCGAAAUAGAAUUUUUUUCUUCUUUCCUAAUUUUCAUUCACAAUAAAACACCAAAAGUUACUAAAACUUUCCUUUUAAUUACUGUAGCUCAAUUAAAAAAAAUGUUUUCCUCUGCUUUUUGUUCUUCAUGGUAAAAACGGUUAAUUCAUAUAGAGCCGUACGCAUUACAUGAAUACAAAACAAACAAUCGAUAGUAUGAACAUAAUACCAAAACCGCAACUAUUUUUUUCAUGUUAAUGCAUUUAAAUAGUUAAUUGUAGGUGGAUUGAGAAUAUUAAAUGUUCAUAUCCUACCAAAAUAUAAAUUUGUUUAAUUUCAAAAAAUAUAUUUAAAACAUUAAUUUACUUGUUGAUUUGAAAUCUUAUCUAAUCUUAAAUAAUUAUAAUACAUUUAAUUUUUCUAAUAAAAGAUCUAAAAUAAUCAUAAUUUAAUUAAAUUUAUUUUAAAAUUAAUUUUUAGUGUUAAUAAAAUAAAAAUUGUAAAAUAUAAUACUAGUAUAUAUAAAAGCAUAAUCCAAUUGGUGUAUAGGAUUAUCAGUCAACAAGGUAAAGGACAGCCCACUUUAUCCACUCAAAUCUUACGAUCAUACAAUCCCACAAGCUUCCCAAUAUUCAUAAUCAAUCCGUCACCACUUGCACUCAAAAGCCAUACCCCCCAAUAAUGGCAGCUACAUUUUCAAGCCCAUCAACCGUCGUGCGCCUCGGCAGCGCCACCUCCUUCUCAUCCCCACCGAACAACACCUGCCUCUCUUCAGGUACACUUUUUUUAUUUUAUCAUGAACAGUGAGACCCAAAUUCGUAAAAUACCGUAAAACAAUGGCAUACAUUUUGUCUCACUUUUCGACUCAAUGGUAAAUUUGAGAUUUUCAAGAAUUCUGAGCUCUCAAAUAUGAGUUUCACCUGUGUAAAACAUGCGUGGGUGAGUUUAAAUUUAACUUAAUGCUACCAAUAAUUGGUUGAUAUAAUUGUAAACUGUAUUUUUAGUUGUGUUGAGUUUUAAGUGAGUGAAUGUAUGAUUGCAGGGUUUUUGAAAUCAAGUGUGAGGGGUAGGAACCCUUUGAGGCUGGCCGGUGCUUGCGGGGGAAAGUUCACAUGGUAAGUUGUGACAGUAAAAUGUUGAUUUGUGAGUAUUAAUAUGAUGCUUCGAGGGAUUAAAUUGUUAGUUGUGAUUGGAUAAUGGGAAGCUUUGAGAGGGACUGGCUGCGUAGGGACUUCAACGUAAUAGGAUUUGGGCUGAUCGGAUGGAUUGCUCCGUCAAGCAUACCGGCAAUCAAUGGCAAGAGCUUGACGGGGCUUUUGUUUGAGAGCAUUGGAACCGAGCUUGCUCACUUCCCUACUCCUCCUCCUCCUACUUCUCAGUUUUGGUAAGUAUAUUUUACACUCUUUCUUUUGCUAUAGAUUUUUCAAUGCCAUUUGUACUUUGGGUUCAUAAUUUGUAGACAAGUUUAGCCCAUUUUUCAGUAGGGGCCUGACCAUUAGACCAUGGAACCAAAAUUUUUUUGGAGACAUAACCCAAACCAAUUGAAUUUGAAUUUUUUUCAUUAAUUUUUUUAUCAUAUAUUUUCUUUUAGAUAUAAUGUCUAAAAUUAAUUAUAGCUUCUCGUCAACCUUUAAAUAGGAUGAUAAUACGCUUCAACGCACUCGAACCCACGUCCUCCUACACUAACAACAAUACCAAUACCAAUACCAAUUGAAUCAAUAAUCAAUUAACUUUUAAAGUUAAACUUUGAAUCUAAUAUUCACUUUUGUCAGUGACCCAACAUCUUAAUUGGAAAGAUUUAUCAUCCCUAUAAAGGCAUGGAGAAGGAGAAGUUUGAUUUAUUUUCUUAAUAUUGGUUUCAAUAAAAACAAAAAAAUCAAUUACAUUAACCUUGAUAAAUGAGCAGGUUGUGGUUGGUAUUAUGGCACUUGGGACUGUUCAUCACUCUUACACUUGGACAAAUUGGGUUCAAGGGAAGGACUGAGGACUACUUUUAAUUAUUAUUAUUUUAUUUAUGAAAUAUGAUAUUACUUUGGUACUCUCUCUAUCUUCCAUCAUUUCCCUAUAAUUGCUAUGCACUUUGUUUCUUUUAUGUCCCUUUCAAUGCAAAAAAGACGGAUUCUCUUCACUAAAAUUAAUUCCCAUUUCUUUUGACUUUAGGGCUACACCAAAAAGUUAGUCCUUUUUUUUUUUUAAUUAUUGGUAAAUAUACUAUGGAAGUCUUUGUAUUAGGAGUUUAAUUGCAUUUUACCUCCUCUACUAAAAAAUAGGUAAAUUAGUCCUUAUAUGUUAGAUCAAAGAGCAAACUAGUUCUUCUAUUAAAGAUUUCAUCUAUUUUUACUGUUAAAAACUGGUCUUCAUACAUCAGCAUGAGGUACACAUGGCAUGCCACAUGUCAUUAUUUAGUUAUUCUAUUAGCUACAUCAAUUUUUAACAGUACAAAUGAAUAAAAAUUUUAACAUAAAUGACCAAUUUGCUCUUCAAUCUAACGUACAAUGACUAAUUUACCUAUUUUUGAUAGAGAGACAAACCCCUAAUAUAGAACCUUCAUGGCACUUUUACCGAAAAUUGUUAUAUUAAUUUUUUUUUUCAUGUAGAACACUGUUGACUAAUAAAACAAGCAUUUUAUUAAAAAAAAACCAAGCAUUUUAAUUCAAUGAUAAUUGCAUAUAUUUUUCCUCAGAAAACUUAGUAGAAUUAGGAUUUAAAUCAAAUUCUUUGAUUAAAUCUGUAAAAAAAAAAACAGUUGAUAUUUCCAGCAUCUUGGUCUAAGUGGUAGUGAAACAACACCAAAUAGUAAAAACAUUAAAAGAUUGGUUACACAAUUUAAUUUCCAUUUAUAUUUGUGAGGUAUGAUUGAGAGAAUUGAUGGAGUAACUUCAAACACAUAUAAAUGAUGAUUUAAAACCUACAACUAAUGAUGUAUAUCAAUCUCCAUUAAGAUUAUCCAAUUGACGAAAAGUGUUGUGUAUCAAUGUUGCCAAUAUAAACAAAUGUGUGAUAUAAAUAGAGUAAGAGUAAAGUAAUAUAAGCAAGAUUAAGUUGAUGCCUCAUCAAAAUUUUUAUCAACCCAAAAUCCUCCAUUCCUCCAUUUCUUCCUUUUAAGAUUAAAGUGAUUACAAGUAUGACAAUUAUGUCCCAUAUUUCCACAUUAUGAACAAGUCUUAUUUUGUUUCUUAUGUUGUUGUUUUGGAAAAAUUCAGUUAAGAACAGUGGAAUUCGAUUUAUGAUAUUUAUAGCAAUGAAUUUUUUUCUUCGAAAAGUACAUCUACCUUGUGCAAGGCGGAUUUGUAUUGUUCUUGGCUUUCAACCGAAUGACCUUCGCCACUAUGUUUAUAGCUCGAAUUGCGUUGAGUGUGGGCUCGAGUAACACGAACUAAACACAAAACAUUAAAUAGUUUAAUUACUUCCUGUAGGAAAGUAAUUCUCUUAAUAGAAACCAGUAGAAAUUGUACUUUUCAGAAAUUAUAAUUUAUUCUUAGAAAAUAAAUUCUCACUACUUGGCAAAAUAACAAUAUAUGAAACUCAAGUGUAAAAACUUAUGUAAAAAUCUCUACCAAUGUUAUUUAUUUAUAGAAAGAGAUAACAAAAUCCUGAUUGAAUAAAAAUAACAUAAAUAGCAUUUAUUAAUAAAAAACACAUUCUAAUCCAACCAAGAGCGAGGGGAGGGGCACACCCUAUAUAAUUUAUAUAUAGAAAGGGAUAAGAGAAUCCCAAUCGAAUAAGGGUGGGUUUGGAUGGGCGAUUGGGUGCGGUGCGGUGCGGUGCGUUUAGCUUACUUUUUGUCUCACGCUACAAUAUUGAAUCUCACCGCCACCGCUGUUUUUACACUAACCGCAGGUAAACUCACCUUAAAACUUUAUUCAAGAACGAUAAUAAUUUGUUUGAGAACAUUUUUCCCCAUAAUGAGAGUAUGCUUCAUUUCUUUCAUUGAUAUCAAAGUUGACGUUAAAGAGAAAAUCACUAUUGCUUACGAAAAGUGAUGCUUGUCUUCAUCCAAAAUGGGUAUCUACUGAUUGAAGCAAUUAAGAAGUUAAAAGACUUUCACAAGGUGGCAUCAUUAAUAGUUGAGGAGCACUUUGGUUCACACAAUUUACAUAGAAAGUGUUCGCACCAUGGCCAACACCAAAAACACAGUAACAACUACCAUGUAAAAAAAAAAUCCUUUUUCUAUUACAAAAUUUCACAAACACCCUAUCGUCUUGGUCGAAUAUCGACUAGCGGUUGAUGGCUUUCCAAAUAAUUUUGUCCUCCGUCUCCUCUCUUCGCUACAAUUCUAUUUUAUUCUUUUUAAAAAAAAAAGUUUGCUAAAUUUAAGUGGGCAAGAUUUCUGUCCUUCACAGCUUUCAAUAUUUGCUUGAAACUGAAAAUAGGGUUGCAAAGUUUGGUAAAGAGUUGAAGAGUUGGUUGCUUCUUUUAUGUUGAUUUGGACAAAUCAAUGAGCCUCCAACUUUUUAAGUAAUUUAUCUAAAUUAUAUUUUAGCCUUAAAUCAUCAUUUCCCCUUUUGAGUUUUUUGGUUCAGAUUGGUACAUUUUGUUACCAUUUCAUUCCACUACCGUUUUUAAAAAAAACUGAUUGAAAUGUAGCCCAAUUAGAUUGUGCCACAUUGCACUUCAAUCCAUAUGUGUUCACAAUAAAAAAAUUUAUAAGGUCAACAGCCAAUCAACGACCGACCAACAGUUAAGGGUUAAAUUUAACUCUUUACAUUUACAAAUUCUAUCAAUUUGAUCUUCAAACUUCCUAAAAAGGUUAAAUUUAUUGAAUUAUUUAGAAUUAAGAUCAAAUUGAUAGAAUAUGUAAGUGUUGAGGACUAAAUGUGUUAUUAUACCAGUUAGAAAAAAGCUUUCUAUUAUCAAAUUAACCGUGUAUAACCAAAACAAGAACGAAUCCAAACGUUAGUGCCUAAAUUAAAAAAAAUUCAAGUUAAAUGACCAAAACAAGCUGAUGACCAUUUAUAUAGUUUUUUUUAUGAUUAAUAUUUUACAAAUCAAUCAUUAGAUUUAGUAAUAUAAUUAUUUAUUAUGCAUCUAAAGUUUCAAAUCAUUAUGAUAUCAUUAACAUCUAUAUCUAUAUUAUUAUUAUUUAAAAUUUUGAUUGAGUUGAUGUCACUCUCAAUCGGGUCUCAGCUAAAACGUAAUUUUAAGGGUAUUUUUAUGUACAAUUUAGAAAAACACAUGCAUAUAUGAUGAGAUUUGAACUCAAGAUCUUAAAACCUUCCUUUUCUCAACUUUACCAUUUCAACCAAAAUCACAUUUGUUUCUUAUAUAAAUUUUUUUUAUAAAUUUGUUACAUAAUUUUUUUCUACCCACGUAUGUCAUAAUUGAUAAAAAAAAUGCUUUUUUCAAUAUAAUUUAAUCUUUGAUUUUUUUAAAAAUAAAUACAUUUUUAAAAAACAUUAUUCAAAAAAGUUGACUUGUACAAAGGUUAUAUUUUGUUAUUAGUACCUCUACUAUGUAUAAGUUGUGGAUUUAGUCUAUUUAUGUUAAUUUGAUUAUUUUUAGUUCCUAUAUUUUUACAAUUUUAAAAUUUUAGUCUUAACCAAAUGGUAGCUAUUGAAUUCAAUAAGUUAUGAUAUUUUCAAAAGUUCGUUGCUGCAAACAUAUUAUCGCAUGUGCAAUGUCAUGUCAACUUACUAUUUCCAUAUAAUACUCACAAAAAAGCCAAUUAAUAAAUUAUACAGAUGUUGUUUACAUUAAGAAUGAAAAUUUGAAAUUUAAAAAAUAAAAAUGAUCCAGUCAUAGAAUGUGGGCUAAAUCUACUAUUUGGUUAGGAUUAAAAUUUUAAAAUUAAAAAAAUACAAAGACUAAAAAUUGACCAAUUUGAAAAACAAAAAGAUUAAAAUUAAUUAAAUCAAAGUAGGUAACUAAACCCAAUAUGAAUGGAGAAAGAAAUUUUAAAAGAAGAAGAAGCAUUAAACGUGUUAAAGAUUAUGAAUUUUGAUAAAUUCUUGACCCUAGAUACGAGAUCUCAAAACUCCCGUAACAAUGUACUAAAUGUUAUUUCUUGUAUGAAUAUAUUUAUAGCUUUUGUAUGACCAUGUUGAGUUUGAAAUUUUGAAUGAUGGGUCGAUAAAUUGGAACUAAUGAUAGAAGGUGUAGAUGAAAGUUUAAUUAAAGUGGACUUGGACCUAAAUGUUAUGAAUAAGAGAUUAAUUGGUAAAAGUUUACUGGUUUUACAUAAUAUCAAGUAGGUGAAGUUACUGAAAUUUUUAAUGAUCAUAGGGAUCUGGAAGCUUCAUCAAACUUAAUUCAUUCAACAUUACAAGGAAAUUUUAAUUUAAUGGUUUUUAAUAUUAAAAAUAGUAAAAUUUGUUUCAUCCUCAAUUUUUGUCUCCAAAUAAAUUUUCAUUUUAAAUGAAUAUAUUUAAAUUAUUUCUUUUAUCUAAAUAAUAUAAAUUAUUAUAAUAUUAAGAUUAAAAUUAUGAACUUAUUGUAAAAUAAAGAAUAAAUAGAGUACAACCUAAGAUAAAGUACAAAUGUCUAUAAUACGCAUGACAUGUUGCUUCAUUAAAAACCUUAUCUGGAAAGCUCAGUGGGAUAAAAUCCCAAUUAAGAGAAAAAGAGUACAACACAUAUUUACUCCCACUUAUGACAACAUCGCAUAAUAUCUUAUAUCCUACUUAUCCCAAUAUUGGAUAUUAGUUUUUCAAAUGAUUUUAUAAACAUUUAUAUCAUCAUUCUUCUAAAAGUCAUGAGUGGGGAAUAAUUUUGGGAAAAUAUAUUUUGGUCUCUUCUAGAGUUCCAACAAUAAUCAUAAUCAACUUUGAUCAUCAUCCUUGUAUGAUAAUACAUAUGUUCCAAUCAAAUCUUUAAAUAUUUAGGCAAAUAUAUUUAACAAUUUCACGUUAAUUUCUAUAUGCUUCUACCAUUCUAAAUAUAAACUUCACUAUGUAGUGUUUUAUAUAAAAUAUUGUAACAAUAAACAUUAGACGCAUGUCAAAUCUUUCAUGAACUGCUAUAUCAAUAAGAUACCUAAAGUUUAUUGCAUCCACCACAAAAGGAUAUUAUAUCUAUGCUGAGACUUAGCAAAAAAA
Molecule: long non-coding RNA, 55924 nt
Filed under: Gossypium raimondii (Peruvian cotton)
Lineage: Eukaryota; Viridiplantae; Streptophyta; Magnoliopsida; Malvales; Malvaceae
Description: long non-coding RNA (GRAI_LNC000237)
Rfam family: MIR7502 microRNA precursor family (bases 51207-51351)
Source: RNAcentral